Molecule: long non-coding RNA, 54537 nt
Filed under: Lactuca sativa (garden lettuce)
Lineage: Eukaryota; Viridiplantae; Streptophyta; Magnoliopsida; Asterales; Asteraceae
Description: long non-coding RNA (LSAT_LNC002522)
Source: RNAcentral
AACCUUCCAUUAUAAGUAUAAUGAAUUAUUAAAGUAACUAAAUGUUUUCAUAAAAUUCCCAAUCUUAGUUACUUAGGCAAAAGUGAAUUGAUGCAAUUCCAUGAAAUUACACUUUGUGCCCUUGCGAAGACGUUAGUGGAGCGUGUGUGGUUAACCGGCACACUAAAUGGUUCUAAGCAAAGGUAGCAAAGGGUGACUCAAUGUUUGUCAUAGUUCGGUGGAGCGUGUGUGGUUUACCGGCACAUCGAAUAGGUGACUGUAACAUGUGAGGGCACCAUGUAAGUUUGCAUGGUUAUUCACACCCGCUUUGUGAUCCUCGGCAUCCCAGUCACAAACAAGAGGGGCAUAUCGAGAUUUAAACAUGCCAUUGAAAGUUCAAUGAAUCUCAAAGGAUCUAGGAGUUUUCAUAGAUUUAAAACUUAAAUUUCUUUUUCGUUUUUCAUGGUGGAAAUUAGUGAAUCGUCAUUCACUUACCUUCAAAUAUUCUGCAAUUAGGGUUACGGCAUCCCUCUCCCGAGUUGUAGAAUAUUGUGUUGGGUCCUAGCCUUAGUAUCUCAUUUGGGUGAUUUACUAAGGACUCAAUCAAUCAACUAACUUGAAUUCGUUUUCUCCCGUUUUGUAGAUGUCAAAGUUCGACAACUAUGGUCUUCCCAAAUCCCGUGGAACAAGCAUUCCACAUGAAGAUGAUAUUCCACGAUUCGAUCGAGGAACAAGAAAUCAUGCUUCACUUCCUCCUCCUCCUCCAAUUAUUCUCCCUAACCCACAAGUUCAAAGGCUUGAAAAGUUCAAGAUCACUCAAGCCCUUUUGGCAAGUAAACAUAAAGAAGGAAAGUCGGUGUGUGCACACGUCCUAGGGAUGAAGUCACACAUUGAUAGGUUAAGAAUGUUGGGAUCCGUUGUCUGUGAGGAAAUGGCUGUUGAUUGGGUUCUUCAGUCACUUCCUAACUCAUAUAGUGAGUUCGUAAGAGAGUACUAUAUGAUGAACCGCGACGUGACCCUUAUAGAUCUCACCUAUAUGCUUAUUGCUGCUGAAUCAGCAAUGGUUUGGCGCAAUAGAAAAGCAAAGUUGAUUGGUGAAUCUGCCUUCAAGACCUCUAUGGAUAUAGACAAUGGCAACGAAAGACAUGCUAUGAUCGAAAAGUUUGAUCAUAAGAGAAAGGCAAUGUCUGAAGUAGUUCCAUGUCAUGUUCCAAAAGAGUCAAUUUGCUUUUAUUGCCAAGAGAAAGGGCAUUGGAGACGAAGCUGCCCCAUUUACCUAAGAGAUCUAAGAGAUGGGAGAGUCGAAACGUAUGGCUCUAAUAUAGGUAAAAUCCAUUAACUAACUCUUUUAAGCUUCUAUUCUAGAUUCUUAAUACAUAAUGUGAUAAGAUUACAAUUGAUGUUUUGUAGGAUCGAAGAAAAGAAAGGAAGCUUAAGGGAAGAAGUGAGCAGAAUCUAACCGUGAAGGAAUGGAUUUCGAUCGCAUUUCUCGAAGAUUAGAUUCUUGAGCUACUACUUAGAGUUAGAAUUAGAUUGCUAAGAAAGAUGUAUUAGCAUAGUUUUUCAAUGAAUUGCAUUGUAAGGACAAAUUUUUUCCGCAAUAAAAUAAAUUUUGAUUUUAUAUUAUUUAUUUAUCCUUGCAAUGGCGUAUAUGAAAAAUUGAUGUUUGAAUGUUUCUAUUAUUAGCAAUAAUGGAUUUGGUUCUUAUUAUGUUAUUUAUGGAAAGUCGAGAGUUUACCAAAUAGGGAGAGUUUCUCAUCGCCCAAGUUUCAAUUGGACAGAAACUUGGAAUCAUGCAACUUGGUUGCACGAUGAAUGAGAAAUUUCAUAUUUGGAAAUUAGACUAAUUCAUUGACAAAGUGUCAAGUGAAGGACUAGGAGAUCGAGUACACAAAGUUGCGUGUUGAUCAAGUCCACCAUAAGAGUAACAAAGAUAUUCGUCAUGAUUUACUAAAGGUUUAGUAAAUAUGAUUAUACUUAUAAGAUUAAGUGUAAUUCUGAAUUGAUUGAAAAAGUUUAAAUCAAUAGCAGAACGAAUAAGAAGAAUCAAGUAGGCAGAAAGAUAAAAGUUUCUCCAUUCUAAGAAGAAGGGAGAGUACCUUUUAUGCUUUAUGAUAGGUCUUAAUGAUUAAGAACCAUAUCUCAAUUGAUCCUCUAAGUGAGUCUUAGUACAAUUGUAUGUCUAAGAAGAGGAAUCAAGAAUUGAAGAAAUGGUUAAAUCAAGAAGUCAAUCAUACUUCGUUCCAAAACAAGUCUUAGAGUUAAGAUUGUGACAUUGAGUGAUAAGUAUUAAGAAGGUUUAUAACAUUCAUCAAAUGUGGAAAGUUGUGAUGUCUUGGAUAAGACAAAGACCAACUAGGACCAAUUUAUGAAGUGUUUUGAUAAAAGCUACACUAACUCUUGAAUAUUUGUUUGUCAAGAAAUGUUUAUUGACAAGAGAAUCUUAUAUGUCAAGGAGUCAGUGGGAGUCUUAAUGGUCUUGAAAGGUUUCAAGAACAAAUCAAAUAAACCUUAUCGAUCAUCACUAGCACACGAGUUGAGGUUUACAACCUAUCGUGUUGACAUUAUUUUGUUUCUGUGCCAAUCCAAUCGAGUUAAUUAUGCAUGUGAGUUCUAUGAGUUCUCAUUUUGAACGCAUAAAAGGCAAAGCACCUUAAUCAAUGAAAGGUACAUUGAUAGGAAAGGGUGAGCUGCUUAACUACUUGGAAGACAUGGUGGGCAGCUGUGCUACCAUAAGGCAAGAAAUCAAGAUUAAGAAAGUUCGGUCCAUAUGAGUUUGAAUUUGUCGUAAACUUUGGUUUUAACAAAUUCACAUGGAUAGGAACACAUACACCGUUUAAAUCUAAGUGUCAUAAGAUUUCCUCCUUCAUGAAAAUGAUUGUGAGGAAAUGCUUUCACUAAGAAAGAUUUUAAGAAGAUAGUGAUUGUAAAAUUGCAUUCUCGAAUUCGAUUAUGGUUACGGUAUCCCUUUCCAUAAUUUGAAUUGUGAGGUUUGGCAAUUAGUCUUAAUUGUUUAGACACACAUAUGAACUAUCGAAGGCAAAGGUGUAUAAGUUCAAGAAGCCUUGAUAAAAGAUUAUCAAAGCACUAAGUAUUAGAAACAUGAACUUAAGAAAUUCAAUAAGUAUUGUUUUUCUGAAAGUUAAGAUGUUUAUGAAUACAUGUCGAAGCUAGUGGGAGCAUAAGUGUUAUGUUUUAUAAUAAUCAUCAUGAUAGUGGGAGCAUAAAUGUUAUGAUUGUAUGAUUAUUAAGGAAAGUAUUGCAAGUUGGCAAUAUUAAUUAUAGAAAACAAGAGUCAUACUUUGCAAAGUUGUAAGGAUGGAAUAGUUGUUUUGCUAUAAUUAAGGGAGAGAAUAUUAUGCUUCAUUUCAAAUCUAAAGGCUUAGGUUGAGAAAUGUUAAUAAAUUUAGUCAAAGGUACAUAGUGUGUUCUUAAAAUUUCGAUUAUGAUUACGACAUUCCUCUUCACAAUUCGAAUUUUGAGAACAUAGCAAAUAAAACAUUAUGCGUCGUGUCCCAUACGCUUCGGGUAUAGGAUCGAUUGCAAAUGCUUUAAUGUUUGACCAUUCUAAAAUUUUCCAAAUGUCGAGCGCAUUUAGAGGGAAAAGGGACUAGAAUUGGUUUUGACUAAAAUAAUUAAACAACUAUCAAAGGACAAUCCAAAGUUCGACGAGGAUUGGUCGCUUGUGAGUAGUUGGAAGUAUAGUAUUGGAAAAUAUGGAAAUGUUUCCAUAUUGGAUGGACCAUAUCGACAUUAUUAUGAAUAGAUAAGAUUCUAUUAAGAAUGAGUUGUCAUAUGGAAAAUAUGGAAGCGUGUCCAUAUUGGGAAUUGAAUAUUGAAAAUCUAUGACUAGAUUAGAAACUUUUAUGCAAAAGGAUGUUCAAAGGAAUGUACUUUGAGUGAGAGACAUCAUAUCUAAGGAAUUGUCUUGUAACAAUCUCCGAUAGAGGACUUUGUAAUAUCAUUGGCAAUAGUCUUUGUGACUUUGGUGCAGUGACAUUACGAAAGGAUAGUUGCAUAGAAUGUUAGAAUCUAGCAUAUUCUAUAAGUAGCAAGAAUUUGAUAUUCUUUAACUUAUGAAAAACGGAUUUGGAGUUGUGAAAUGAGAAGGAUUGGAAAUGUGUUCAAUGUGAUCUAUUUCACAAAGUAAGAACCAUAGGUAAACAUUGUGUGCAUGCUAGGAGCAUGGGACAAGUGUUGGAAUUCAAGUAAGAAGUUGAUUACCCGAAACGACAAAUAAUGAGUAAUCAAUAUGGUGAUAAAUAAAAGGUGUUUUAUUUAUACUCAAAGGUUUGAGGCCAUAUGGGAUUAGUAUUAUUCUUGUGUUUCACAUUUGCAUGUUUUGACUUCCAGAAUAAUUGAGUUUAUUAAGAAUAAUCGAAUUAUUCAAACGGGCCACAGUCGUUCAUAUGUUGGAAGUAGAUAUGAAUGAAGACUGUCGUGAAUUGGUGUGUGGAUUGUCUAAAAGAGUAUUAGACAUAAGCAAAUGUUUGCUGCAACGUUCAUGAGUGCUUAUGAAUAUGAUUUGAGCAUUGGAUUAAACCCACGCUCACUUGGAUCACUCCAUGAAUUGUAUCACGAGUGAUUGGUGAGACGAUAACAUCUUAUAUUCUUGAAACCGAGAUGUGUGAGUUGUAUCUUGCAAAUCGGUUGCACAUUGAUAAUAUGUAAACGCACUAGUAACUUGGUGUUAUAAAACAUAUUGUUGUGUGUGAUUCGGUGAGUGAGUGCAAGCAAGCAUUGUAUCAAAGUUUAUCCGUUCCUUUUAUCCAAAGUAGGAUAAAAGCGAUAUCUUUGGGCCCCUCGAUGGUUUAGUGAUGACAAACGUAAAUGCUCGGCCGGGCUAGGGCUAAUUUGAUUUGUUCAAUUAGUCAGUCGUCAUAAAUCGGAAAUCGAGAUAUAGUACAAAGAGAAUGAUUUGAAAUCAUAUCUCAUAUGAUAUCUAGAAUGGAGGAAUAUAUGAUCCCUUAUCUAAGGACACGCGUAUCUGAUAUGAUCAGAGUUGACAGCGGCUUUGGAAAGCUACGAUUGCAGAUCAGGAUCUGAAGUCAUACGCAGAAUAGUUAUUAGACUUAUCCAAGUGGGAGACUGUUGGAUUAGUGUCUAAGUCCAUAACUAUUUUGGUAUGUACUUGACCCAAUGGUGCAUGGUCCUUUUGGGUUGCCUUCACCAAAGCAACUUGAUUGGAGAAAUAAAUAAAGAGAGAGAGGUUAUUAUGAUUUAUUAAUAUGUUAUGAGAAUAAUAUAUUAAAGGAGAAAUCAUAUUUGUUUAAUUAAUAUUGGUCAAUAAUUAAUUAAGAAUUAAUUUUGUGAUCAAGUGUAAUUAAUUAAACUAGAGGGGCUGAAUUGUAAUUAUGUGAUAGUUACAAAAUAAAGUAAGGAUUAUCUUAUAUAUAUGGUGAACGAAUUUGAGGUGUAAAUCCCUUAGAAUUCAACUAGAUAAGGAUAAGGACUGAAAACCUAAUCCCAACCCUAUAUAAAGACCCCUAAGGCCUUGGAAUUCGUGUACUUGAUCCCUAGAGCAUCUAAGGACGAAUUCCUACCUCCCUCCUUUCUCUUUAUACCUUCUCCACUUGCUUAUGGUGUUUGUAAGCCAUUAGAGGAGUGACACUUGUGACUCUAAGCCUUCCAAAGUCAAUUCAAGGAGGAAUUAGGAUUGUUAUUGCUAUAUAACAAUCAAGGUAUGUUCUUAAACCCAUUUAUAUGUUAAUUUUGAUUUCCAUAUGCAAGAAUUAGGGUUUAUAGUCUUGGAUUCAAAGCAUGUACAAUAGAGAAACCUAGAUCCAAGCUUUAGGGUUUGUAUGAGCACAUAGGAUGUCUUAUGACCAAAACCCAUCAAACCUAUCACCAAGUUAAGUGUGAAUCAUGUUCUUUUAGUCCUUCAUGGUUGUGAGAAUGUUGGUUAAUAGCAGAAACAGGUUUUGGUAACCUUCGGGAUCACCUUAGAAGUCAUCUAAAGCUACUUAUGUAUUGGUGGAAUCUGUUCAGUAUCAAUCAUGUAUGGGAUCUUGUUUCAACUGAUAGUGAGGAUGUUUUAUGUUAUUGAUUUAGGUGUUAUUUCAAUUAUCUUUGGUAUUUCUUCUCUCUUUGGAUGAGAUUAUGGGUUCCCUAAGGAUUUGCAUGGUGGUAUUUCAUAUAACCUGGGCAAGAUAGCAUUGGAGCCCUUGGUUUGAAUUAUUGUGCAUGGCACUUUUGGGUUAUAGCCUUCGAACUGGACCAAGAGUGCUAUUGUUAUCUUAUUCUACGGUCGUGUGCGACUGGGUUUUUCGUAAGGUUUUGCUUGGGUAGAAGCAUUGUUGUGCUCAGUUGGCGUUGUGAGGGGGUUGUUUAGGUCCCUUGAAGAUAGAGGAAUGAGUUGGGUAUCUUCAGGAUCGGAGUGUUGGGCGAACGAUACGAUGGCGACAAGGCCGGUGUGAUAUCGAGAGCAUUCCAAACAUUGUCUGAGGGCUAGGGAGGGCAUUCCAAGCUCAUGUUGUGGGCUCAGAGGAAAUCCAAACCUAUGCUGAGGACCUUGCAGAGGUACUCCAGUCAUAAGUUGUGGGCCUAGUGAGCAUGAUGGUUCAUUUCUUCUGCUUUGUGGUAUUUUCAGUGUUGACGCACUGAUGGGAGUCGGGCGAGUUACAAAUCUGUUGGUUGGAUAAAGGGAGUAGUAAGGGUUGUGGGGAGUAUCAGUCAGGUAUCAGAAAGUUUCUAUGAGAGGCAUGCAUUAUAAUUCUAGUUGUUCGCAAGCUGUUUCUAGGGUUUUGAUUUUUAAGUUGGGAAUUGGAUAUGAAGUCACAAGUCAUAAGUUCUUUACGGAUGUCUUGAGUGGAUGCCCAAGUGGAAGUAAACCUGAGCCGAUAAGGGGUUGGAUGUGAUGCGGAAAUUUAUGGUUUGAUCAUAUUUGCUCAUCGAAGCAAUGGUUGGUAAUGGAAUACCAGAGAAAGUCAAGGUUUAUUAAGGUUUUGGUAUAUUAUAUAGUUUGGUUUUGGGUGAAGCUCACGAUCGAUAUGUUUUGAGGAUAAUCUUUGCAUGUUUCUGGUAGGGUCCUUAGUUAGAUACUGGGGGUAGAUUCAAAUGGAUGCUCAUCAGUUUUAGGGAAAGUUCUACAAGAAGGCAUUAUGAGUAUCCUUGUCCGUGGGGGAUUUUGGUGGAAACUCAUGUUGGGAAUCGUGACGGUAUCCAUGCAAGGUCUAUAAUCAGAAAGAUGUGGAUUAAGAAAUCUGUAUGUCAAGUAAUCAGCUGGAGGAUUCAGGAUUUAGCUUAUGUGUUUAUACUCUGGGAUGGUUCUACCUAUGAGAAGACCGGGCAAGUGAUGAGGUUUCAGACUUAUAGCAGCAGUGCAUCGGUCCGACAGCUAAGAAGCCAAUAUUUUGUAUCUCCUUGUGUUCAUCGAAUUGUUAUCAUUAGGAGUUGACUGGAUGGUUUGAUGGAUAACUAUCAUGGAUUUAGCUUUGGUUAGGUAUGGGCGGUUUAUCAGGGAGUCACACCAAUUCGAGACUUGAAGUUUCAGAUAUAGUUGGUUAGGUUUUUGCAUGGGGAGGUGGAUUCGUCUUCUUCAAGUGAAGAGUUAUGUUGUGAUCAGUUGCCUUAGGAGUAUAAGGUUAUGUUCAAGGUUGUGGUUAUGUUCCUCAGGUUGUUGAGCAUGUCGAAGAUGAUAAGGAAUGAUUUCGAGGACGAAAUCAAAUUUUAGCAGGGGAGACUUGUAACAUCUGGUUUCAAAUCACUAAAUUAUUUGGGGACGUGGCCCGAUCAUCAGUUAUCUUAAGGCUUGGGAUCUUGGGGAAGAAAGGAUUUGGCACUUUUUGGAUGAGGGUGUUAAUAUCUAAGUGAUCCGAGUGUUCGAUGGUGUUUCGGAGCCUAAGGGUAUAAUCAUAAUUUGUUAUUUUUGUCCUUUAUGAAUUUUGGGUUUGAUUCGGGAACUUGAAUUCUAUGGUGGGUUGGUAGAGUGUAUGGCUUCUCAUCACCUUUCUGGGGAGAUAAUGUUUGUUGGAAACGGACUUAGAAUGAAGGAGUUAUGGCCUUUUGAAGAAUUUAGGGUUUUUUUGGGAAAAACCUUGGUUCGUGGGGCGUACUGAUGGGUUUUGAGCAUUCUAACACUUCCUAAGUGUACAUGCAACCCUAAUAAACCUUGGAUCUAUGUUUGUCUAAGAUACAUGCAAAUAAUUAUUUUUCCAAGGCUUAUAUCCUAACUAGCAUGGCAUGGGGAACUUGAAUCAAAUAAAGCUAGUAGAAACACUUACCUUGUAGUUGUAGUUGAUUGCUUGGAGUUUUAGAGCCUAGCACCAAUAGUGUGGAUGCCUCAAAUGAAAGUCACAAAUCACCACAAACUUGGAACUUUGAGAGAAUAGUCACCACUUCUCUUGAAAUCGGCCCUCACCUCAACAUGUGUCAACUAGUAGUGAUUUCAAGAACCAAGACCUCCUUUAUAUAGUGUGGUGGAUUAGGGUUACAUCCAUGUAAACCCUAAUACCCAUGUCUCUUCAUUUCCAUGAGAUCCAUGGGUUAAAGCUCCAUGGAGUAUCCAUGGACUUCUCCAUCCAAGCCUAGCCCAUUCCAAAUAAGCAUAAGCCCACACUAUAUAAAUAUAGAAGCCCAUAUUUAAUUAGUAAUAUCUUUGAUCACUAAAUUAAUCCUAGAUUAAUUAUAGAUCACUACUAAUUAAAUAAUAUGAUCUUAUAUUAAUAUAUUAGAACUUAUAAUAUAUUAAUAAAUCAUAACUUGUACUAUUCUCAAAUAUUAUCCAUAAAUUGUUCGGGUGAAGUGCAACCCAAAUGGACCAUGCCGGGUCGGGUCAAGUACAUACCAAAUAUAGUUAUGGACUUAGACACUAUAUCCAACAGUCUCCCACUUGGAUAAGUCUAGUAACUAUAUUUGCAAGUAUAACUUCAGGAACCGAUCAGCAAUCGUAGCUCUUUAAACUCUGUUGAACUAGAACGCGCCAUUUAGAUAAGUGAUCAUAUAAUCCUCUGUUCUAGAUAUCAGCCGGACAAAUACAUGGAACAUUGUCUUGCUUAUUGUCCAGCAUUUGUUUCCCGAUUUCCGAUUUGUUUGACAUAGAACUCAACUGAACACAUCAAUUUAGUUCUGACCGGGCCCGGUACAUAGGUCAAAACAAAAUCAUCGAGGGGCCCAGAUAUCAGCUUCUAAUCCAAGAAGGAACAGAUAAACUUCGACUCAUAUGUUUGUUCUACCACUCAUUGAAUUACACACAAAAGCACGUUUUAUAACAUCGAGUUACCAAUGCGUUUUCGUACAAUCAAUGCAUAACCAACUCGUAAGUAACAAAUCAUAUCUCUAGGUUUGAAGACUUAUAUGAUAUUACCGUCUCACGAUCACUCGAGAUAAAAUUCCAUGAAGUGAUUCCAGUGAGCGUGGGUUGAGUCCAAUGCUCAGAACUUAUGAGCACUCAUGAUUGUUGUAGCCUUGUCCAACACCUUAGACCUCUGCAACCCAUCAUGACAGUCUUGAUUCAUACCUACUUCCGACAUAUGACCGACUGUGGAGGUUUGAAUAAUAUGUUAUACCAAACAAAAUUAUUCUGGAAGUCAAAACAUGCAAAAGAAAUAUAGUAAACGAUCGACAAGAGAUAGCAACACUUUACUCAUAAAUAAAACACCUUUUAUUCAUCAUCAAAUGUCAAUUACACUUUACAAAUUUCUGGGUUAUCUAACUACUAAAACUUAUAUCAUCCUUCAGCCCUAUGCUCCGAGCAUGCUGGAGAUGCUUAACCCUACUCAGUCCCUUCGUGAGGGGAUCUGCUGGGUUCUCAUCCGAUGAUACCCUCUUUGCCACGAGGAGUCCUUCUUCGAUCCGAUGUCUAAUGAAAUGGUAUUUUCUGUCGAUGUGUCUGGAUCUCCCAUGAUCCCUUGGUUCCUUGGCUAAGGCAACAGCACUUUCACUAUCACAGAAAAUUUCCAUUGGCUCUUUAAUAGCUGGUACAACUCCAAGGUCUCCAAUGAAGUUCUUCAGCCAUAUCGCUUCCUUUGCUGCUUCACUAGCUGCAAUAUACUCUGAUUCACAAGUAGAAUCUGCCACUGUCUCUUGCUUGGAACUCUUCCAAGAAAUUGCUCCUCCGUUUAGGGUAAAGACCCAGCCCGACUGAGAGCGGAAAUUAUCCCUAUCAGUCUGGAAGCUAGCAUCACUAUACCCUACAACUCUCAAGUCAUCACUCCCACCGAGGGUAAGGACCCAGUCCUUAGUCCUCCGUAGGUACUUGAGGAUAUUCUUUACCGCAGUCCAGUGUGCCUUGCCAGGGUUCGCCUGAUACCUGCUAACCAUGCUCAAGGCAAAAGCUACAUCGGGUCGAGUACACGUCAUAGCAUACAUGAUCGAUCCUACAGCCGAAGCGUAAGGUGUUCGACUCAUUUCUGCUAUCUCAGCCUCAGUGCUAGGGCUUUGUGUCUUACUCAAUCUGGUGUUACUCUGGAUGGGUAACUCUCCUUUCUUGGAAUCCUGCAUGCUGAAUCUCUUCAGCACCUUAUCCAAGUAGGUACUCUGACUAAGUCCAAUUAGUCUUUUACUCCGAUCUCUCAAGAUUCUUAUCCCUAGAAUAUAGGCAGCUUCACCAAGGUCCUUCAUAGCGAAACACUUCCCAAGCCAGGACUUUACUUCCUGCAGGGUUGGAAUGUCGUUUCCUAUGAGUAGUAUGUCAUCCACAUACAAUACCAAAAAGCUAACUAUACUCCCACUAGCCUUGACAUACACACAAGAUUCAUCUUCACUCCUAGAAAAGCCAAAUUCCUUGACCUUUUCAUCAAAGCAAAGAUUCCAUCUGCGAGGUGCUUGCUUCAAUCCAUAAAUGGAUUUCUCAAGCUUACACACUCUAUUAGGGUACUCGUUGCUGACAAAACCCUCUGGCUGACUCAUGUAAACAUCUUCAGCCAACUUUCCAUUAAGGAAAGCGGUUUUGACAUCCAUCUGCCAUAUUUCAUAGUCAUGAAAUGCAGCUAUGGCUAACAGAACCCGAAUAGACUUAAUCUUGGCUACCGGAGAAAAGGUCUCAUCAUAAUCCACUCCAGGAAUUUGAGAGAAGCCCUUUGCAACCAGUCUAGCCUUAUAAGUGUGUACUUUACCAUCCAUGUCGGUCUUCUUCUUGAAGACCCAUUUGCACCCUACUGUCUUACGACCUGGUACAUUUUCAACCAAGUUCCAAACUUGAUUGUCAUACAUGGAUUGUAUCUCGCUAUCCAUAGCCUCUUUCCAUUUAGCAGACUCGGGGCCUGCCAUGGCUUCCUCGUAGCUGUUAGGGUCAUCUUGACUUACUAGUGUCUCAUCACUAAUAAGUGUCUCACCUUCUGCAGUAAUAUGGAAUCCAUAGUAAUGCUCAGGUGCACUCCUAACUCUCGUGGAACGUCUCAGAGGUACAGAUUUGUCAAUUGGCUCAACAGGAGUUUCCUCCUCAAGUUGAGGGCUAGAGUUUGAAGUUCCUUCACCGCUUGAUUCUUGAAUUUCUUCAAGAUCAAUUUGCCUCCCACUGUCUCCUUGGCUUAUAAACUCUCUUUCUCGAAAGACUCCUCUUCUUGCUACAAAGACCACAUUGUCACUAGGUCUGUAGAAGAGGUAACCAAAGGAUCGCUGUGGGUAACCGAUGAAAAUACACCUCUCGCUUCGAGGUUCGAGCUUAUCAUGAGUCUCGCGUCUCACGAAAGCCUCGCAACCCCAAAUCUUGAUGUGGUCUAGUUUAGGUACUUUACCAGUCCACAUCUCGUGAGGAGUUUUGGCAACUUUCUUUGUAGGGACUAGAUUAAGAAUAUGGGCGGCAGUCUCUAAGGCAUACCCCCAGAAUGAGAUUGGUAGCGUAGCUCGACUCAUCAUGGAACGAACCAUAUCUAACAAGGUUCGAUUACGCCUCUCAGCCACACCAUUCAACUGUGGUGUCCUGGGAGGUGUCAAUUGUGAGACUAUCCCACAUUCCCUUAGAUAGUCGAGGAACUCUGAACUAAGAUACUCACCACCACGAUCGGAUCGAAGCAUCUUAAUGUUCCUGCCCAAUUGAUUCUCGACUUCCUGUUUAAAUUCCUUAAACCUCUCGAAAGUCUCUGACUUAUGCUUGAUCAAGUAGACAUAUCCAUAUCUACUAUAAUCAUCAGUAAAAGUCAAAUAAUAACGAUUAGCAUCCCUUGUGGCAUGUUUGAAUGGUCCACACACAUCCGUGUGUAUAAGGUCCAACAAACCUUCACCCCUCUCACACGAACCUGUGAAGGGUGACUUUGUCAUUUUUCCAAGUAAGCAUGAUUCGCAACUAUCAUCUGACUUUAGGUCAAACGACUCCAAGACUCCAUCCUUUUGGAGUUGGCCUAUGCGUUUCUUGCUUAUAUGUCCAAGACGACAAUGCCAUAAAGAUGCUUUAUCCAAGUUAUUAUUAGUAGAAUCAAUACACAAAACAUUAUUUCCCAAGUUAUCUACAACAGAUACAGCUUCAUACACACCAUCACAAGGUAAUGCUUUAAAAUAAAAGACAUUAUUAUAGAAAACAUCUAUAGAACCAACUUCAUUAUUAAAUGAAAAGGUAAACCCUUGUUUGUACAAAGCAUGAAAGGAAAUAAUAUUUCUUGCCAUUCCUGGCGAAUAACAACACUUAUUCAAAUCUAAACUAAACCCACUACUUAGCGAUAAAGUAUAAACUCCAAUCUUGGUAACAGGUAUAGCUUUCCUAUUCCCCAUGAUCAAGUUUAUCCUUCCUUGCUCCACAUCCUCACUUCUUCUUAGUCCCUGCAAGUCACAACAAAUGUGAAUACCACACCCGGUAUCAAGGACCCAAGAAUUAGAAUGGGGUGAGUUAUUAGAAAUGAUAGUGUAAAUACCUGCAUGGUUGGGUUUAACUUUCCCAUCCUUCACAUCUUGCUGGUAUUUUGGGCAGUUCCGCUUCCAAUGAGCUUUUUCAUGGCAAUAGAAGCAUUCAGCCUCUUUUGGGUCAGAAGAAGGAGUAACGAAACCUUUCUUGGUUCCACUUGAAGAAGAGCCAUCAAGGGUCCGAGCCUUGGUACCCUUAGAAGAGCUCUUUCUCUUCCUCCCUCGACUUUUCCCGAUUGCCAAAACCGGAGUAGAGUUUUGAGUAGGAGUGAUAGCAACCGACUUCCCCUUAAGACCUGUUUCUGCGGUCUUGAGAAGUCCCUGAAGUUUGCUGAGGGUGACUUCUUCCUUGUUCAUGUGAUAUGUCAUGCGGAAUUGAUCAUAGCACGAUGGUAAGGAAUGCAAAAUAAUAUCUAUUGCAAGAUCCUCCGGGAAGUUCACAUUAAGCUUCAGCAAACGAUCCACAUACCUUUGCAUUUUCUGCAUGUGGCUCGUGACGGAUUCCCCGUCCUUCAUCAUGGUUGUUAUCAUGGAGCAGAUGAUUUCAUACCUCUCUUGUCUUGCACUUUGAUGGUAUCUUUCCAUCAAAUCUUGGUGCAUGUCAUAAGGGUAGAAAUCCUCAUAAGACUUUUGGAGUUCCGCUGUCAUCGUGGCCAUCAUGAUGCAAGCCACUUUCGUAGCAUCCCUUUCAUGUGCCCGAAAUUCAGCGAUCUCCUGAGGAGUUGCAGUGGACUCAUCAAUCUCCUUAAGCUCCUUGUCAAGGACAUAUUCUUUGUCCUCGUAGCGGGUAAUCAUCCUGAUGUUUCUGAUCCACUCAUUGAAGUUGGAUCCAUCAAAGGUGACUUUCCCACACAAGUUCAUAAGGGUAAAGGAGCCAUUAGGAUUAGAGCCAGAAGCAUUGUUGAAAGACAUCUGAAGGAAAGAGGACAAGAUUAGUUUAGAUAUAAGAGAGUCCUUAAUAAAACACCCAAAUGUAAUAUUAAGGCUAGGAUCCAAUCACAAUAUAAUAUAACUUAGAAGAGGUAUGCCGUAAUCUAAGCUAUAUCAUAUUUGAAAGGUAGGUGAAUGACGAUUCACCAAUUUCCACCACGAAAACCGCAAUAUUUUAGUAUUAGGUUUUUGAAUGGUUCUUAGAAAUUCCUAGAUUCUUUGAGAUUCAAUGAACUUUUCAAAGGCAUGUUUCAAUCUCGAGUGUGCCCUCCAAGUUUUGUGACUGGGAUACCGAGGAUCACAAAACGAGGUGUGAAGUAACCAUGCAAAUCACUUGGUACCCUUAAAGUUUAUCACUCAAUCGAUGUGCCGGUUAACCACACACGCUCCAUCGAUACUAUAAUAAACCCUAAGUCACCCUUUACCUACCUUGUUAAGUCCAAGUUAGUGUGCCGGUUAACCACACACGCUCCACCAACGACUUAAUCAAAGUGUAAAGUGUAAUUUCAUGGAAUAGCACCUUAUUCACAUUUUUCCUAAAGUAACUAAGAUUGGGAAUUUAAUAAAACAUUUAGUUACUUUAUAAUAUUCAUCAUACUUUGAAUGAGAAUUAAUAAGUCCUUGUCUUACCCGUUCGGCUAACGACCCUCCACCGAUCAAGCAAGCGGUGGGUGAGAGUGGACACCCAUUAAGUCACCAUUUUAUAGGCAACAACCUUAUACCCACCUUAUAGACCGGCUUCGUGAAUGAGGCGUACUAGCGGUAAGACGACUUUGUUCUUAUACAUAUAUAUAUAAUUAUUAAAUCAUAAUAAUAUAAGUAUAAGGGUUGAAUUUUAACUUUUAAAAUUCUAGGGGUUGGAACUAAAGUUUUAACUUAACUUUACUUGUUCCAAAACUUGAGGGCAAGUUUUGUAAACUUUCAAAACUUUUCAUUUCUUGUAACUUAUGAGUUUAAUAGAGUAAUAAAAUGAGGACUUUUCAUUUUUCCUAACUCUUGUGUUCUUUUAAUGGUUUUUAAUCCAAGAGACUUUUGGUUUUCCAUAACUUGAGGACAAGUUAUGGACUCCAUUAAAACACAUUAUGAUCAUGAAUUAAUCUACCACAUAGGUUACAAAUAAUUCCUAUGAUCAUCUAAACAUCAUAAGAACAAGAAUAUGAAUAUGAACACUUUCAAGAAUCAAAAUCACAUUUAAUCUUUGUAAUUUUGAUAACUAGUUGUUGUAAAUGAGUUAGAAAAGACAUUACACCUUCUAAAAUAAGUUUUCAAGUACCAAAACAUUUUAGGGUAAUGAUUCUAAUCCAUUUCCAGCAACUCAAGUCGAAAUUCUGCACUCUGUCGACCCUACUCGCCGAGUGCAUAAACCUACUCGCCGAGUAGGUUGAAGAUACACAUGAACUCGACGAGUCCUCCCCAUGGACUCGCCGAGUCCAUCAGUCAGACAGCAGAAUUUUCGACUUUCUUCAACUUUUAAGCACAAAUAACAAACAAACAAGCCUAGGCUCUGAUACCACUGAUGGGUUUUGAGCAUUCUAACACUUCCUAAGUGUACAUGCAACCCUAAUAAACCUUGGAUCUAUGUUUGUCUAAGAUACAUGCAAAUAAUUAUUUUUCCAAGGCUUAUAUCCUAACUAGCAUGGCAUGGGGAACUUGAAUCAAAUAAAGCUAGUAGAAACACUUACCUUGUAGUUGUAGUUGAUUCCUUGGAGUUUUAGAGCCUAGCACCAAUAGUGUGGAUGCCUCAAAUGAAAGUCACAAAUCACCACAAACUUGGAACUUUGAGAGAAUAGUCACCACUUCUCUUGAAAUCGGCCCUCACCUCAACAUGUGUCAACAAUUGUGAUUUCAAGAACCAAGACCUCCUUUAUAUAGUGUGGUGGAUUAGGGUUACAUCCAUGUAAACCCUAAUACCCAUGUCUUUUCAUUUCCAUGAGAUCCAUGGGUUAAAGCUCCAUGGAGUAUCCAUGGACUUCCCCAUCCAAGCCUAGCCCAUUCCAAAUAAGCAUAAGCCCACACUAUAUAAAUAUAGAAGCCCAUAUUUAAUUAGUAAUAUCUUUGAUCACUAAAUUAAUCCUAGAUUAAUUAUAAAUCACUACUAAUUAAAUAAUAUGAUCUUAUAUUAAUAUAUUAGAACUUAUAAUAUAUGAAUAAAUCAUAACUUGUACUAUUCUCAAAUAUUAUCCAUAAAUUGUUCGGGUAAAGUGCAACCCAAAUGGACCAUGCCGAGUCGGGUCAAGUAUAUACCAAAUAUAGUUAUGGACUUAGACACUAUAUUCAACACGUACAUGGGGAGUAUGCAAGGUGUACUUAUGCGAGGGCAUUUACUUUGGGCAUACUUUGGCGUAUGUUAAGCGUAGUCAGCAGACUUGGUCGCGAGGGUUCGGCCUUGUACGUUGGGCGUACGAGGAGUACGCUGGGCAUACAGGGGGUGUCUAAAACCUAAAUUUUGAUCAUUUGUACGCUAUUCGAAUAUCCUUAUUCCUUAGGGUUGACCUCCUUAUCAGCCUCUAAAGCCCCAUACACCCUUAAAGCGAGUCUUAGCCUCCAUUCUUGGGUGUUUGUGCCUUCGGUGAGGAUUUUGUGCUCAUUUUGUGGAUCUAGAAGAUGAAGGAGGAACUUGAAGACUUAUUGUUUGAAGGAAAGCUUUGAGGUCACCUAAUUGCAUCUACUUUUGGUAGUUUGGGAGGUAUAAAGUCCCAACCUUGCCUUUUCAUUUCAUAGAUCUUCUUCUUGGUUGCUUUUUGGUCAUCUUGAUUCUUUUGGUUGAUGAUUAGGAGUUUAAGUAGUUUGUGAAGCUUGUAAUUGUAGAUCUGGUUGUAUCAUGGGUUCCUUGGGCAAAAAGGUGCAAAAUUUAUGGCGGUUUUGGUUCCAUGCAUGUAUUAAGUCAAUUAUUAAACUCUUUUGAUCCCUAGAGUCCCAUUUAGCCAUGCAUGCACGUAAAGUUGGCAACUUUAUGUGAUUAACCACCACAGGGAAGUCAUAUCUGAUUUUGGAUCAAUGUCAUGAUGGAUUAAGUGCUUAAUUGGAAAUUCGCUUUGGGCUGGUAAGUACGCUAUGCGUACAAGCCUCCCAUGUUGUACGUUGAGCGUACAGGCUGAGUACGCCUCACGUACUUAGCAUGAUUGAGCCUUUUCGUUUUGGGCUGGUUCGUGUUGGGCCACCUGAAUUUUAUGGUUGGGCUCUUAUGACUUGACAAAAUUUCUUAGGUACAGGCCCACAAAAGGAAUUGGGCCCAAUUUGGAAAAUUGGGCCAUAUUUAGGCUUUAGCUGUUCAUUUUUGGAUUUUGGCCCUUUGGUCAUCUAGUUUGGGCCUUGGCUUUAGGCCAAGCUUGAGGAAAGGGUAAAAAUGUCUUUUGCCCUAAUUUAGACUCAUUGUGUGAGUCAGGGGCUAGAUGUUGAUGGGUUGUCAUUUUGGUAUCUAAUAGCGUGUGGAUUUUAGUAGAUAUGCAAUCAUAGAUUAUUGGUGAGAUCAGCUGUUGAUAGGGUGUUGUCUUGUUAUUCGCGGUUCGAGAAUUUGUCAACCAGCAGCCAGGAAUCGUCUAUAUGAUUCGGCAGUGAGAGGUGUGUUUUCCUCACUAUACUUAUGGGUCGAAGGCACCAAGGCCGGCCCAUUGGUUGGAUAACCUGAUAUUGUUGAUAUGUUGAGUAUGGAAUAAAUAUGCAUGCUACUCUUGUUAUGCUAGUAUGCAAUAGAUAUGCAUGUAGUCAUUUAAACUAUCAUCCCAGUUCAUGUUGUUGUUAUAUAUAUGCUAUUGUUUGUGUGUUUGUACUUUGGGGGAAGUCACUAAGCUUUGUGCUUACAGUUUUGUUUAUGGUUUUAGAUUCUUCAGAUGAUUCAUGACAAUGCAACGGCGUGAUCGUACACAUCCUUGGUAACAAAUUCGAUAUUGGGAGUCUCUGAUUUUAAAUCAUUUUUUGGAAAUAAUUGUUUUUAUAAACACUUUUGUCAAUAAAUGAGUUGUUUUGAAAAAUUAAAAUUUGUUGAAAUUUUUGGGGAUGUUACAGUGCGAAAGCGGUGCUCCCACUCAAGAUUCUGAGUGAAUCGUUAUGGGUAACCGGUUUUGACGCAGGCUCGAAUGAGGUAGAGCGACGACAAGACCUAGACAUGCUAGACGAGAAACGUCAAGCUGCUCGACUUCGAAAAGCGUCCUACAAAGACCAUACAGAAAGCUUUUACAACAAACGGUUAAGGGUAAAGAACUUCAAAGUUGGACAAUGGGUGCUGAGGAAGAAUAAGGCUAGCUACUCGGAGCCAAUGAGCAAGCUAAGUGUGACCUGGGAAGGACCAUACAAAGUAGUGGGGACACACCGAGAUGGAGCUUACACAUUGGAAGCACAAGACGGGUGACCGAUACCUUGAACAUGGAAUGCACGCAACCUGCACCACUUUUAUUUGUAAAACAACUAGCAAAUGGUAUAACAAAAGGAGGGGUAGUGAUGCCCAGACCCCCAGUCUAAGAACUACGCCUCGGUCAAAUGUUGACAUGAAGAUCAUUAAGUUGUCUAUAAAAGUUUCUGACUAAUAAUAUUUCACAAGAUAGUAGACUAACCUUACUAGUCGACAUACGCACAUACAUACAAAGACAUAAGUAGAAAUACAAGGAACAAAAAUAGCGAAAAAGGGGUGCGUGAAUGUAACACCGUAAAAAUUUAAAACAAUUUUUCACUUUUGAAAACACAUUUUUAAUUAAACCAUUCAUUCACAAAAUGUCAUAACAUCAAGUUUUCAAAUCACAAAUGUAUCCCAACAUCAAAAUACAUCCAAUCCCAUAUAUGUGUAUGAAUCAAGCCGGCGCCUUCCCGCAGUCAUCACUGGUACCUGAAACACAUAACACUGAACACUGUAAGCAGAAGCUUAGUGAGUUCCCCAAAAUACCACACUAAUCACAUAAUAGCCACUCGAGGAUGUAACUCUGUUGACCAUCUGGUCAAUGUGUCUCAGUGGGGCCCUCCAGCCCUAAAUCUCUGUGGCCCCUCUGGCCGUAACUCUAGCGACCCGAAAGUCCCAACUUUGUAACUCUGAAUCAUGCAUAUCACAUAUCACAAAAAAUCACGACACAUAAUAACAUGCAAUCACACUGGCAUAUAACUCUAUAAUACUCUGUCUCUGAACUCUAUUACCACACUAGGUAAAGUAUAGUGAGAAGACUCACCUCGAGUAUCUCAGUAAAUAUUUGUCUCGGAAUAAAUGUGAUCUAGCCUCCGCCUAAUCACACAAAGUAAUACACCCAUAAAUACAACUGAACUCAACCCUAAAGGUUAACAUGUUCAACGGUCAACUUUGACCGGACUCGGCGAGUUCACUAGGGCGAGUCGGCGAGUCUAUACGUGUCCACUGACUCCCUUGGAUCCUCUCUUGACACGUCGAGUACUUCCCUAACUCGACGAGUUCCACCUGGAAUGAAUCGCGGGGCCACCACGACUCAACUCGACGAGUUUCAAGAACAACUCAUCGAGUUCCGGCUUAACUCAGCCCCCCCUUGACUCUCCCUAACUCACUGAGUCGACGCCUCAACUCGGCAAGACCACUCGCUGAGUAGUUACGGGAAAACUUCAUGCUACUUGCUGAGUCUGUUCUUCAGACUCGGCGAGUCCAUGCCAUGCAUAAACUCAAACUCACUUCUGAGGUCAGACCUGUUCCAUACAAUCAUAGAUCUGGCCUCCCCAGGCAUGAUAAUCACGUAAAGUCCAAACCUUGGGGCUCAAACAACAACUAUUUGCUCAUAAAUGAUGUUUUAGCCCCAUAUCUCAUAACUCUAGGCCAAUACUCUCAUGAACCCUCAUAAAGCUUAAGGAAUAAAGCUUCUCUGGACCUCUAUGGAUCUCAUCUCAAGCCUCAUCACAAAUAGGGACGAAAUGGACAUCAAAUCUAACCAACAAAGGGGUCAAGAAACCCUAAACCCCCAUGUUCAUCAUAACAACAGAAAAGGGAGCCAAAAUAUACCUCCAAGAUGAUGCUCUAAGCUCCAAAAUCGAAGGAUGUGCACCUCCCUUGCCUUCUCUUAGCUAGAAUAUCCUUUGCCUUGCCAAACAAAGCUUCAAAGGUCAACAAUGGCCUCUUCUCUCUCCCAAAACGCUCAAAUCUCUUUAGGGUUUCUCUCUAGGGGUUGGUGGCCGCAAAUGACGGCUAUAAGCCCCUUUAAAUAGGUCUCAAACCCUGGAAAUUAGGGUUUCGUUAAAUAGUGUGGAUUCGCCGAGUCCACUUUUGGACUCGCCGAGUCCAGACGCGAACCCGCGCCCAAAACCGUGAUCCUACUCGGCGAGUUUGGACUCCAACUCGGCAAGUCUCCUCACAAAUCACCCAAAAAUACAAGAAUAAAUAAUACCUGGGAAUCCGGGGUGUUACAGUUCUCCCCCACUAGAACUAGCCUUCGCCCUCGAUGUCUCACUUUGCAAAUAACUCUGGAUGCUGCUCACGCAUCUCACGCUCUGGCUUCCAAGUCAUCUCGGACCCCUUCCGAUGUUGCCACCGAACCAAAACCAAAGGUACCUCCUUGUUCCUCAACACCUUGAUUUUCCGAUCUCUGAUUGCUACCGGUCUCUCAGCAUAAUUCAGGCUCGCAUCCACCUGUAUAUCCUCUAAUGGUACCACUGCCGACUCAUCGGCUAUACACUUCCGCAAUUGCGACAUGUGGAAAGUGUCGUGAAUCUGAACCAACUCUGCUAGCAACUCCAAAUGAUAGGCUACCUUGCCUACCCUCGUGACCACCCUGAAUGGACCAAUAUAUCGAGGCCCCAACUUGCCCCUCUUCCUGAAUCGAAUCACUCCUUUCCAAGGAGAGUAAUUUAGGAGCACAAUGUCGCCAACCUGAAACUCAAGCUCGGAUCGGCGUCUGUCCGCAUAGCUCUUCUGACGACUCUCAGCGGUCAACAACCUCAGUCUGACCUGCUGGAUCUACUCUGUCGUCUGAAGCACGAUCUUAGUACUUCCCAGAACACGCUGCCCGACCUCUCCCCAGCAAAUGGGGGUCCGACACCUCCUCCCAUACAACAGCUCAAAGGGUGGCAUACCAAUGCUCGAAUGAUGGCUGUUGUUGUAGGAAAACUCUGCCAAGGGCAAAUACGUGUCCCAACUCCCCCCGAAAUCCAACACACAUGCCCGGAGCAUGUCCUCGAGCGUCUGAAUCGUCCGCUCACUCUGUCCGUCAGUCUGGGGGUGAUAUGCGGUACUAAAAUGCAGCCUAGUACCCAACUCCUCGUGAAACUUCUUCCAGAAUCUGGAAGUGAAACGCAUAUCUUGGUCUGAGACAAUCGAGAUCGGCACUCCAUGUCGUGAUACCACUUCCCUCACGUACAUCUAUGCUAACUUCUCUGCGGAAGAGCUCUCACUGAUUGCAAGGAAGUGGUCACUCUUCGUCAACCUGUCCACAAUCACCUAAAUUGCAUCGACUCCCCUAGCAGUCCUUGGCAAUUUGGUGAUAAAAUCCAUGGUAAUCUGCUCCCACUUCCAUUCGGGAACCUCCAACGGCUGCAACUUACCAUGCGGUCUCUGGUGCUCGGCCUUAACCCUACGGCAGGUUAAGCACCUCUCAACAAACCACGCAACAUCCCUCUUCAUACAGGGCCACCAAUACUCUCUCCUCAGGUCCAAAUACAUCUUAGUGGCCCCAGGAUGGAUCGAGAAUUUCGACCGAUGAGCCUCUUCCAUCAAAAUGGUACGCGUCCCUCCCACAAACGGUACCCAGAUACGCCCCUGAAAAGUCAUAAGCCCCCGGCCAUCGGUAACGAACUCCGAUACCAACCCAACAACUCGCUCUUUCUUCUGCAUCUCAGGCUGCACAGCCUCAGCCUGUGCCCCACGAAUGGCGUCCAACACUGGAGCUAUCACGGUCUAUCUCAAACAUAUAUCUCGCAAUAAGGUGCUCUCCGCCCUGCGGAUCAGUGUAUCGGCUACAACAUUAGCCUUGCCCGGGUGGUACAGGAUCUCACGAUCAUAAUCCUUGACCACAUCCAACCAUCUCCUCUGUCGCAUGUUUAGGUUGGGCUGAUCCAUCAAAUACUUCAGGCUCUUGUGGUCCGUGUAUAUCGUACACCGAACCCCGUACAGAUAGUGACGCCAAAUCUUGAGGGCGAACACCACUGCCCCCAACUCAAGAUCGUGGGUGGGAUACCUCGUCUCAUGAGGCUUCAGCUGCCUCGAUGCGUAUGUUAUCACAUGCCCUCUCUGCAUCAACACCGCUCCCAAUCCCAAGAUCGACGCAUCACAAUACACCACAAAGUCCUCCAUCCCUUCGGGGAGGACUAACAUUGGGCUUCACAUAGCCUCUGGCAAAGCGUCUCAAAAGAGGUCUGCUGCUCUGGUCCCCAUGAAAAAGCGACACCCUUCCGGGUUAAUCUGGUCAGUGGCACAGCGAUCUUUGAGAAAUCCCUGAUAAAUCUCCGAUAAUAGCCUGCCAACCCCAAGAAACUCCUGAUCUCGGACGGUGAUCUCGGCACCUCCCAACUCAUCACUGCCUCCACUUUGGCCGGGUCGACCAAAAUCCCCUUCUGGUUAACGAGGUGCCCUAGGAACUGAACCUCUCGCAACCAGAAAUCACACUUGGAGAAUUUGACGUAAAGCCUCUCCGAUCUCAGAACUCUGAGGAUCUCCCUCAAAUGCUCCUCAUGCUGCUCUCUGGAUCUCGAAUACACCAAAAUAUCGUCGAUGAACACGAUCACCGACCGAUCCAACAUCGACCUGCAAACUCUGUUCAUGAGAUCCAUGAACACUGUUGGGGCAUUGGUGAGUCCGAAAGGCAUCACCACAAACUCAUAAUGCCCAUAACGAGUCCUGAACGCUGUCUUCUGGAUAUCCUCAUCUCGCACCCUUACCUGUUGAUACCCCGACCUCAAAUCGAUCUUGGAGAACCAAGAUGCUCCCUGCAACUGAUCGAACAAAUCAUCGAUCCUCGGCAACGGGUAACGGUUCUUGACCGUCAGCUUGUUCAACUCCCGGUAAUCAAUGCACAUCCGGUGUGAACCAUCCUUCUUCUUGACAAAAAGGAUAGGCUCUCCCCACGGCGAGCUGCUCGGCCGAAUAAACCCCUUCCCCAACAGCUCCUGAAGCUGCGAGGAUAACUCUUGCAUCUUUAGAGGUGCAAGGCGAUAGGGCACCUUGGCAAUAGGCGCGGCCCCCGGAACCAAAUCGAUACUGAACUCCACUUGCCUCACGGGAGGCACACCCGACAACUCCUCUGGAAAUACGUCCGGGAACUCACGCACUAUCGGAACCUCCUCAACUGACCUCGGUCUCUCUGAAUCAACCCGCGUAUCCAUCACAUACGCCACAAAGCCCUUACAGCCCUGCUGUAGACACUGCCUCACCCUAGCGGCCGAACAAAACGCUGACCCAGAACGUGUACCCUCGCCGUACACCGUAAGAACUCCCCCACUAGGGUCUCGUAUGGUCACCAGCUGUCGCUCGCAGUCGAUAACCGCACCGAAUCUGCUCAACCAGUCCAUGCCCACAAUGACACAGACAUCACCCAUCGCAAUAGGAACCAAAUCAAUCGGGAACUCAACACCGAAAAUCUCGAAUACGCACCCUCGGAUCACCUCUGUGGCAUAUAUCACCCUCUCGUCAGCUAUGGAAACUCUCAGAGGCCGACUCAACGCCUCACGACUAACACUGAUAUGCUGACUAAAAGCCAAAGAUACAAAAGACCGACUCGCACCCGAGUCAAAUAACACCAAGGCAGGUACAGAAUUCACAAGAAAAGUACCUACGCAUAACAUAAUAUAAGCAUAAUAUCUCAACAUCAAAAUAAAUACACGAAAGAAUACAUACCAGCCACGACAUCGGGCGCUGCGCGGACCUCCUCCGCGGUCAACUGAAAAGCUCUCCCUCGUGACCUCGGCGCCUCGGCCUUCACUGGCCGACUCUCGGUAGCUCUGAUGGCGGCAGGGGCAGAUCCCUGAGGUGCUCCUUGUGCUGAUCCCCGCAACUACGGACACUCUGCCUUCCGGUGUCCGGUCUGGUUUCAGUGAAAACAUACUGCAAACCCCUUGGGGCAGUCCUUGGCCAUAUGCCCCUCCUUGCCAUAUUUGUAGCAAGACCCUACUCUGCACACACCGUCGUGGCUCUUGCCGCACUUGCCACAAGUGCGGCCCCUCUGGCUCCCUGAUCUCGAAUCGGCGGGCUUGGCCCUCUUGGCUACCGGCUGAGACUGCACCGGUCGCCGAUCCCUCCCCUGAGACUCAUCCUCUUCCCUAGCCCGAGUCUCCAGCUCUAUCUCCCUCUUCCGGGCAUUUGCCUGAAGCUCGGAAAACGUCCGGUACGUCGAGUUCGCCACGAACUCACGUAUAUCCCUCCUCAGAAUACUCAAAUAUCGAAUCAUACGUGCCUGCUCGGAGGACACGUGCUCUGGGCUGAACAUCGCCCGCUCAUGAAACAUCCUCGUAAUCACUGUUAAAGACUCAGUACCCUGCUUGAGGGUUAGAAACUCCUGGGCCAAAUGCUCCCUCUCCACCUGGGGAACGUACUCAUCUCGGAACAUAGCAGUGAACCUCUCCCAGGUCACUGCUGCAAGCUCAGCAGGCGUAUAGUGCACCGUCACAAAUUUCCACCAGUCCUUCACUCCCAAGCGAAGCUGGUUCAGCGCGAACCGGACUCUCAAAUGCUCAGGAGAUGAGCAAGUAAAGAAACACCCCUCUAUGUCUGAAAUCCACCUCAUCGCCGCAAUCGGGUCCUGGGUCCCGUCAAACUCCGGUGGUUUUGUGUUGCUGAACUCUCGGAACAGCAACGCAUCACCACCCUGUGGCCUCGUCACAACUAUAGCUGCAGUAGCUGCAGCAAUAGCAGCCUCGGAAAGAGCAGCGUACUUCUCAUUGAAUGUCUCUAUCAACAUGGUCUUGAUAGACCCGAACAUCUCUGGUAUCUCUGCCCUGAUGGCCGCAACCACCUCCUCCUGGAUGAUCCUACGGAUCUCCUCAUCCCUCGUAUCACUGGUCCCUGGUGUGUGGCGAGUCCCAACCAUAAUCUCUCUCUCUGAAAUACAAUACAAGAAUAAUAUCAGGGACUCGCUCGAGUAUACUCAUACUCGAGUACUCCAUCCUACUUGUUCCUUGGUACUCCAAAGAUUCUUACUUGGACUGUGCACUGACCCGUUGUCUUCAGUAGUACGGGCCCAAUACUACCGUCCACACCGCAUCAGCAUCCACCCCAAGUCCUCCUCCCAGAGUCCCAAGCCCCAAGCACUCUACUCUCUCUAAUCAUAUGAUACUCACAUCAGAUCUCUCAAAAUCUCAUCACUGCUACCUAACCACUCUGAAAUAUUCAUAGCAGCAAGACUCCUAGACUCAGGCAUCACAUAUCAGGCCACUCUAGUCCUAAUAAGAAUACCUAGUCUACUCUAGCAUGCAUAUCAUAUCUCAUCAGAUAACAUAUCACAUCAUAUAUUAUAACACUUAUAAUGAUGGUUGUUGGGUCGUGUUUUGUAUUUAGUGCUGCGUCUAUUGGGCUUGUUAGCUAGUCCAUUAUGUACCUCCGGUAUGGGCAUGUCCAUCCGUGAGUUUAGUAGGGUUUAGUAUAUAUAUAGGAGCUUGCAUGCAUCCUAGACAGUAACGAUAGAAUAGAACGAUUAGAGAUUUAUUCAGCAAGUUUGUUAUUAUCGUUCUUGUAACCCUGAAAAUCCUCUACAGAGGAAGUUCUUAGUCGAGCUCUGCUGAGGAUUGUUUGAUCUAAUCAUUCGACACAUCUUGAUCCAUACUUGUGUUAUUUAUUGCUUUUACAUUCAUCGCAUUACCUGUUAAGAAGAUCUAAUCGAUCAUUAAGUUUGCUUAUAACUUAUCAAUUGGUAUCAGAGCAGGAGGCUGUGUAAUUCAUACACAUCUUUUCUGUGAAAAAGGUUGCGAUUAGGAUUAUUCUGCAUUAACUAAUAUUUAUUGAGCCGUCAUCCCAUAAUUGACGUAACUCAGCAUUUAUUUGUUUUGCCCUAAUUUUAUAUAUUACAAGUCUGAUCUUUCAAAUAGGUUAUACGAUCAAGCAUGGACGAGUCACAAUCAAAUCCCAUAAACAUCUCAAACAGCAUUGGAUCAACGACGAAGAUUCCCAUCCUUGACACCCAGGAUUACGAAGUCUGGGCACAUCACUUUGAAGAUUAUGUCAUUGGAUCUAAAGACAAUGAAUUUCUUAUUUGGGAAGCAAUCAUGUCUGGACCAUUCGCUCAUUCAGCAACAUCUAAAAUCAUUAAAACUUAGAAAGAGUAUAAUGAUCUGUUGAAGGACGUAAAGAUAUUGAUCAAGAUGAAAAAGAUAAGUUUCAGUGCAAUAUUGAAGCAUUGAGACUAAUCAGAUUCGCUCUUCAAUCGGAUACUUUCAGGCUAGUGAGUUCAUGCAGCACUGCCAAAGAAAUAUGGGAUAGGCUACGAGAGUUAUAUUCCACAGACGAAGAUCUGGAACAUUCAAUUCAGACCUUACUUUUAUCUGAGUUCGGCGAAUUUAAGCAGAAUCCUGAGGAAACUGUUACUCAGACGUUCGAUCGCUUCAAUCAUCUUCUCAGUAAGAUGAUUAAACACGAUAUUGAAAGGAAGUUGAUUGAACAAAAGGUUACGUUUUUGAAUGGUCUUAGAUCUGAGUGGAGAGCGGUUGUGUCCACUGUUAAAGCUCAUGAGCAAUUCAAAUCUUAUUCAUUGGCUAAGCUGGUAGGGAUUUUGAAAUCCCAAGAAAAGAUUGUCUUGCAGGAGAAAAAUGUGGUUUCAAGCUUGGGUUCCUUGGCCCUUCUUUCUAAAAGCAAAAGUGUGAUGGAAGAUGAAGACCUUAACUUAGAAGACUAUGACCUUACCUCUGAAGACUAUGCAAUGAUGGUGUCAAAUCCAAAGAGGUUUAUUAAGAAAAGGUUUCCUACCAAUAAGAACCGGAAUUGGCAGGGAAGCUAUAGUUCUGAAAAAGUGAGGGAGGAACCGAAGGCAGAAGAAGCAAAGAAAGAGCCGAAAGCUGAAGGGGAUUCUGGGGUGAACUGCUACUACUGUGGAGGAAAGAACCACUAUGCCAAAGACUGUGUCCUAAAGAAAAUGGCAGAAAAGGAUGAAGAAAAAGAUGAAGAAGCUGUGUUGAUGAAAAAGCUGGAAGAGAUCAAGAGAAAGAAAACUACUGCUAACCCUUCUAUGAAUGCUUUAAUUGUGCAGGGUUCGGUAGCGGAUGAUGAGUUCGGUGGCGUGGAGGUCUGGUCAACCGACUCUGAGGAUGAUGAAGUCAGAAAGCCAUCUCAUGGAAAGGCUUAUGUUGCGAAAGGUGAAGGAAGCGGUGGAAAGUGUUUGAUGGUGUCGGAUGUAUCUCAAAUGAGGGGAUACAACACAGACGGUGGGAAUGAAGACACGAAGGAGCGAGAGGACUUGUGCUUCACAGCAAAACCUCUCAGCAUGCAGUUUAAUGAGCUUGACAAAUUAAUCAAGAAGGUACAAUCCAUAUUUGUUUCAUUCAAAUUCCCACAAAAUUCAUAUGAAAAAGAAUUAAAAAGCAUAAAUUCAAGAAUCUCAUAUCUAGACAGCAGUUUAACUCAAACACGGGUCACCAAUUCUAACCUAACUGACCAAAUAAGCAGGGUGUCUUCAAAGAGUGAGGAACGGAGGAUGUGGAUAGAGCUGAAGGAGUCGGAGUUGAUCAAAUCCAAAGACGAAAACAUUUAUUUACAAAGAGACAAUUUAAAACUUUUGAAACAAAGAAAUGUGUUUUGUUUGAUUGCUAAGCGUCUUUAUUCUAACAUCACUCAACUUCAUCUUAACUGUGAAAUAGGACAGAAAAUUCAUCGCAUGAUUUUGCCCUUUCUUGAGUUUAAGGAAGAUGAAAUCGACGCUGAAGCAUAUAAUUGCGAAAGUGUAGUUUCGUCUGAGGAUGUAAAUCCGACUUAUAUGUAUGGUCUAGACAAAAUCGAAUCUUUCAUAAAGUCCAAGGACCAUAAGGACAUGCUGAAAAAUCUUUUGGAUGAAAAUGAUAAAUUGAAACUAAGGACCGAAACCAUACAAAAGGUUGACUCAUUGAAUGCCAACUUGAGCUCAGAAACUAAAAUUGAUGUUGAAAAUGCAUCUGAGCUUAAUGAGGAUGAUGAUAUGAGUGAAAUUUCUGUAGAGGAUGAAGUUGAUUGUUCCGAGUUUGUCAAGAGCGAACCCGAAAACAACAAAAAUCUUUCUUCAGAAAAUUCUGUGGAGUUUGCUCGUCUGUCCCAACAAAAGUCCCCGAUCCUUGAAGAAAAGGCCGUUGUAUACCAAAAGGUAAGGACGACUCCAAAUCAGGUGUAUAAGGUCACAGGAGUAACCGAACAUCAGACAGCCGAACUCACAGCCAUUGUAAAUGAAGAUAAUGCUGAUGGUUGUGAUGAGUUCUUCUGGUCCGCCCCUAUCGAUAAUGCUGACGAAACCGUUGGUCUGUCGGAGCGGACGUCCUGGAAAACCAAAGGCAGAUAUGUGCCAGAGCCUUUGAACAAGCCUAAAAAAUUCGACAUGCCAAGUACUAGUGGUACAAAAGAUGUUCCUGAGGAAAAAGGAGUUCCUGCAAAAGAAGUCACUCCUUCAAGCGAAACAUCGUCAGUUCAAAGUGAACCGGCUGACAAGAAGCGAAAGCAAAAAGCCAACAUCCAUCGACAGCCGAAGCAAGUGAAGAAUCAAAAACAGCAAAGGAAUCAGAGAUACAAGAAGAAUCUCUAUGAACGAAAACAGUUUUGGCAAUCUCAAAACGCCCAUUUUUCUUCUCAUGACAGAAUUUCAAAGUCAUAGAAAAGUGCUGUUAGACCGCAAGAAAGUAAUAACAACCAAAAGGAGAUGUUCGGUUCUAAGAAUCAUAACAACCGAAAGGACAAGCUCGGUUCUGAAAAAUAUGACAACCGAAGGCAAAGGUUCGGUUCAGAGAACACCAGCUACCGAAAGCAUAGGUUCGGUUCCGAGAGCAAAAGAGACCAAAGUUCGAGGUUCGGUCCCACAAAUGACCAAAAACAAAAGUGUCACUCAGAAUCUCAAGUCAAUAAAACUUCUCAGUCUAACUUCUCUCGUUCUAAUUCUUCUAAUUUCUCUCAACCUCACUCUAAAUCCAAUUCUGUUCAUACUCAUAAUCUAAAAUCUUCAACAGAUUUGAAAGGAAAAUCGAAGGUUUCCUCAGUCAAGACAGAUCAAAAUCAUCCCAAAGUCCAAAUACCUAAACCUGAAUCCAAACCGACAGUAACUAAUCCCAAUAAAAUUAAGGUUUUCACCAUAAAAAGAAAGAUGAAACAACUUUAAUAAAAAGAACAUAUCUUGUUGACAUCUCUCUUACUAUUCCUGUACCUGAGAAAGGCUUACGUGGACCCAAGAAACUUUGGGUUCCUAAAUCUGCUUAAUUUUUGCAGGUUAUCAGUGACGAGCAGUUUGACGAAGAAUGGUAUAUUGACAGUGGCUGCUCACGUCACAUGACAGGAAGGAAGGAAGAGCUGAGGGAAUUUCGGUCUCUUUCAAACGGGGGAAAUGUCAAGUUCGGGAACAACUCAUUCGGCACGAUAAAAGGCUAUGGAAUGAUAACAAAUGGAGAUUUCAUGAUUAGAAAGGUUGCAUACGUUGAAGGACUGCAGCACAACCUCAUCAGUGUAUCUCAGCUUGUUGGAGGUACUGCUCUCAAGGUCUCAUUCGACGAUGAGGGUUUAGAGAUAAUAGAGAAAAAAACGAAAAGAGUAAUUCUCAAAUCAGAGCGCAAAGGCGAAAUGUUUCCCCUGAAUCUCAAACCCAUCAAAGGAAAUCCAGCUAUCUGCCUGUUAUCCAAAGCACAAUCUGACGAAAGCUGGUUGUGGCACCGAAGGCUCUCUCAUCUCAACUUCAAGGAUAUCAACAAACUUGUCACAGGUGGUCAUGUUCGAGGUCUUCCAUUGCUCAAAUUCGAUCGAGAACAUUUAUGUGCUGCGUGUGAAAUGGGGAAGCAGAGUCGUCAAAGUCACCCAUCGAUUGUAAACACUAAAGUUGUUGAACCACUAGAGUUAAUUCACAUUGACUUGUGUGGUCCAUCAUCUAUCGAAAGCAUCGGCGGUAGCAAGUAUAUUCUUGUCAUUGUUGAUGACUUUUCACGUUUUACAUGGGUGUUCUUUCUGAAGCACAAAUCUGAAGCAACUCUCAAGCUAAAGAUGUUUAUCAAGCAGGUUGAAGUGCAGCUGAGGAAAGUCGUUCGCAACAUCAGGAGCGACAAUGGGCUGGAGUUCAAAAAUAAAGAAUUCGAAGACUUUUUAGCAGAAAAAGGAACCAGUCACAACUUCUCAGCUCCCUACACCCCUCAACAAAACGGGAUUGUCGAAAGACGAAACCGAUCUUUGUGUGAGGCGGCCCGAACCAUGCUACGUUUUGCUUCUUUACCUUUAUAUUUUUGGGCUGAUGCUAUUGCUACAGCAUGUUUUACGCAGAACAAGUCAUAUCUUAAUAAACGCUUUAAUCUCAGUUCUUAUGAGAUCAUCAACAACAGGAAACUAAACGUCAAAUUCUUCCAUGUAUUCGGCUCACGGUGUUUCAUCUUCAAUUCUAAAGAACAUCGUAACAAGUUCGACGUAAAAGCCGAUGAAGGGAUAUUUCUGGGAUACUCUCUCACUUCGAAAGCAUACAGGGUUUUGAACAAGCGUUCGAGGAAGAUUGAAGAAACUUAUUAUGUGACUUUCGAUGACAGCUAUGUCAAAAAGCUGANUGAAGAAACUUAUUAUGUGACUUUUGAUGACAACUAUGUCAAAAAGCUGAAGGCCAGUGAAGACACAGUUAGAGAAAUUUUUUCUCAAACAGGCCAAGUCACAGCUUCGAUUGCAAACCUGUUUGAGAAGUUUGUUGAGUUAUUCGAUGAACCAGAGAAGGCUACACUCUCGGAAGCUAGUGCAGCAGACAACAAAGUAGAUCAUCUGAAGCAACUCAUCGAAGAUGCUGCCAAGCAAAUGAAUGAAGGAGGAUCAAGUCCAAACAACCCUCCACAGCACGAUGCUUCAGUUGAGGGGGAGGAUCCACCUUCUUCAUCACAGUCGGGCUCACAUGUUGAGGGGGAGAACUGUUCUCCAGCUGCUCCCGAAAGCCCAGCUGUACCCGAAAGCCAAUCUGCACCCAAAAGUCCUGUGGUACCCGAAAGCUCAACACCACCCGAAACUCCUGUAGCUCCGGAAAGUCAAGAUACACCUGAAAGCUUAUCUGUCGAGGGGGAGAAUGCAGAUAUGUCUUAUGACGAUGAUAGUCAAUCUGAACUAGAAGAGCUGGUAAAUGCUGAAUUGGAUCCAUCCUAUGAUCCAAAUUACCCUCCUCUUGUCAAAUGGACCAGAGAUCAUCCUGUUUCACAGGUUGUCGGUAAUGUCUCUGAAAAGGUCCUGACCCGAUCUCAACUAAAGGCAAAGCAAACUUCCUUAUUUUCAAAAGUAGAGUUCUGUAUGUUUAACUCCUUCGUCUCAAAAGUUGAACCAAAGACAGUUAACACUGCUCUUGAUCACUCCGAUUGGGUUCAAGCUAUGCAAGACGAACUUAAUGAAUUCGAAAGAAAUAAAGUUUGGCGCCUCAUUCUAACUCCUUAAGAUGCCUCGGUUGUUGGUCUCAAAUGGGUCUUUAGAAAUAAGAUGGACAAGGAAGGCAAUUUGAUAAGAAACAAAGCUCGUCUAGUGGUGAAAGGAUACUGCCAAAAGGAAGGAAUCGACUAUGAGGAAACUUUUGCUCCUGUGGCUAGGCUGGAAUCUGUUCGAAUAUUUCUUGCCUAUGCUGCACACAAGAACUUUGAGGUCUACCAAAUGGACGUAAAGUGCGCAUUUCUAAAUGGAGAACUCGAAGAAACGGUGUACGUGGAGCAACCUCCUGGAUUCGUCAAUGAAAAAUAUCCCAAUCACUGUUAUAUUCUGGACAAAGCGGUAUAUGGACUGAAACAAGCACCGAGGGCCUGGUAUGAAACGCUAACCAAGUUUUUAAAGAUGUCCAAAUUCAAACAAGGUUCGGUUGACCCAACCUUCUUUCGUAAGAAGGAAGGUAACCACCUUAUGAUUGUUCAAAUCUAUGUCGAUGAUAUCAUCUUUGGCUCAACGAAUCCUAGCUUAACGGCUGAAUUCAGAAAGCUGAUGGAGACUAAAUUUGAAAUGAGCUCAAUGGGUCCGAUUAACUUUUUCCUUGGUUUAAAUAUUAGACAGGGACCCGAAGGCAUCUUUAUUAACCAGGAAGCUUACACCAAGACUCUCCUUGCUAAAUUUGGCAUGAUGGGAGACUCAAAGGUUAAAGUUCCAAUGGCGUUCGGCACCAAGCUCACUCCAUCCUUGGAUAAGCCAGCAGUCGAUAUUACGCUAUAUCGCCAAAUGAUCGGUUCUUUAAUGUACCUUACUGCUAGCAGGCCUGAUAUAAUGUUUUCUGUUUGUUACUGUGCUAGAUUUCAGGCAAAUCCUCGUGAACCUCACAUGCUUGCAGUGAAGAACAUACUCCGGUAUCUCAAGCGAACUACCUCUCUCGGCUUAUGGUAUCCAUCCAACUCAGGUUUCUUCGUUCAAGCCUAUUCAGAUGCAGACCUUGGAGGUUGUGGACUAGACAGGAAAAGCACCACUGGAGGCUGCCAAUUCCUUGACGGGAAGUUGGUUAGUUGGCAAUCAAAGAAACANNNNNNNNNNNNNNNNNNNNNNNNNNNNNNNNNNNNNNNNNNNNNNNNNNNNNNNNNNNNNNNNNNNNNNNNNNNNNNNNNNNNNNNNNNNNNNNNNNNNNNNNNNNNNNNNNNNNNNNNNNNNNNNNNNNNNNNNNNNNNNNNNNNNNNNNNNNNNNNNNNNNNNNNNNNNNNNNNNNNNNNNNNNNNNNNNNNNNNNNNNNNNNNNNNNNNNNNNNNNNNNNNNNNNNNNNNNNNNNNNNNNNNNNNNNNNNNNNNNNNNNNNNNNNNNNNNNNNNNNNNNNNNNNNNNNNNNNNNNNNNNNNNNNNNNNNNNNNNNNNNNNNNNNNNNNNNNNNNNNNNNNNNNNNNNNNNNNNNNNNNNNNNNNNNNNNNNNNNNNNNNNNNNNNNNNNNNNNNNNNNNNNNNNNNNNNNNNNNCUCGGGUUCGGUUGCAUAAUCUGCUUUUCGCUCAUCACUCAAAGGUAGUUUCCUUGGUUGUAGAUCUUAUGUAUAAUUUUUCCAAAUUCAUUUAUCUUAUUGUCAAAGUUAUUCUCUUUUUCAAACUUAUUUUCUUUGGCAACCGAAAUAAACCGAACGUUCGGGUGCGGCUCCAAAAAUUUUCUCACCCGAAAUAGACCGAACGCUCGGGUUCGGUUCCAAUUUUUUUUUUUUUUUUGUGUUUAUUUUUUUGUGUCUUAUUUUUUUUAUUUUUCAUAUUAUCAAAAAUUCCAAAAAUAUUUUUUCUCGUAAAUUCAAAAACUCCAAAAAUAUUUUAAUUUUAAUUUUUUUUUAUUUUUCAUAUUAUCAAAAAUUCCAAAAAUAUUUUUUCUCGUAAAUUCAAAAACUCCAAAAAUAUUUUAAUUUUAAUUUUUUUUUAUUUUUCUUUUUUGGCUUCUAAUAUUUUUGUCUACUUGUGGGUAUAUCAUUUCAUUAGCUAAGUGUCCCUAGAAGCAUGCUGCUGUAUGUGUCCAAAGCCUCACCUGAUUCUGAAUAAUAAGCCUUACUGACUUGGUAUAAACAAACCUUGUCUUCCCAAUUAGGCUUUCAUAUUUAUUCUAAUCAUGAGCUACCUAACUCUCUUCUCACAUGAGAUAUGAGUUUUCUGCUUGGUCCUAUUUUUUAUAGUAGAGGUACUUUGAUUUCUUUACACCAUCUACAUUGCAUUUCUCCAUCACAUUCGCUUCACAAACGUAACCCUUGAGACUCUCUGAAAUUACCACUGAGGUUUAUGGUUGCACAAUUUCUGUGUUUAUGAUCUUAGCUUUGUGCCACUACGUGCUAAGUGAAACCCAAUAUUCAAAUACCCAAGAUGCAAUGACGGUGAACAAUUAAUUUGUUCUAGCUUUCACUGAUGAAUUGACGGACUUAUCCAUGGGGGUACAACAUGAAAUCUCUAUUUUUCUUUUGAGUGAUUCCUAUGAAAUUGUUAAAUACAAUAACAUUUUUCUUCCCUUGGGAUCCAGUUUUAAUUUUUGUUGAGAUUUUAUACAAUUCCUAGCCAAAUCAAAUUAUCUCCAACCUACUUGUUCAACAGACUACACCGGUCUCACAAGUACUUCGUUCGAUUUCUAUCUUAUAUCAAGAUUAGGAAUUUUGAAUCGAAGCGAAAGCCACCCUAAUAAGCCUAAUUAAAAGAAGCUUUCAACACUAUUUAAAAAGUGUCUGAUCGUUAUUCAACGGGAAACCACACAAACACUUUAAGAUCUCUAUUGACUUUGAAGGAAGAGAUUCGUGCCCGGGAUCAUUUGUUUCGUGUCUUUAUUGACAUCACAUAUUUUUCCAAAAGUGUUGUUUUAUUUCUUUUCUUUUACACACUCAGCACGAAAAUCUUUUUGAUUUUCCAAAAUUAUGGUUCUAUUAAUUUCAAGGAGUUUUAAUUGGCUUGGUUGUUAUAAAAGAUUGUGGUGAAUUUUAAUCCACGUGGGAGAAUUUUUAACAGAUGCCGUUACAAUUUAAAGGGAUAAGAUGACGACAUGAUGACUCAGGCGGGAGUCCAAUCGAUUUGAUUUCAAACGGCCCAAGAGGGAAAGCGUGCGAAUCGGAACCGUUUCAUCUCCAAACGGCGCCUAAUGGGAAGGCGUGUAAUUAGGGCCGAAGGUGCACCCGAAUCCCUCAAACCUAGGCUCUGAUACCAAUUUGUAACAUUGUAAAAAUUUAAAACAAUUUUUCACUUUUGAAAACACAUUUUUAAUUAAACCAUUCAUUCACAAAAUGUCAUAACAUCAAGUUUUCAGAUCACAAAUGUCUCCGAAGAUCAAAAUACAUCCAAUCCCAUAUGUGUGUACGAAUCAAGUCGGCGCCUUCCCGUGGUCAUCACUGGUACCUGUAACACAUAACACUGAGCACUGUAAGCAUAAGCUUAGUGAGUUCCCCAAAAUACCACACUAAUCACAUAAUAGCCACUCGAGGCUGUAACUCUGUUGACCCUUUGGUUAAUGUGGCUCAGUGGGGCCCUCCAGCCCCAACUCUCUGUGGGCCCUUUGGCCCUAACUCUAAGGACCCGAAAGUCCCAACUCUGUAACUCUGAAUCAUGCAUAUCACAUAUCACAACAAAUCACAACACAAUAUAACAUGCAAUCACACUGGCAUAUAACUCUAUAAUACUCUUUCUCUGAACUCUAUUACCACACUAGGUAAAGUAUAGUGAAAAGACUCACCUCAGGUAUCUCGGUAAAUAUCUGUCUCAGAAUAAAUGUGAUCUAGCCUCCACCUAAUCACACAAAGUAAUACACCCAUAAAUACAGCUGAACUCAACCCUAAAGGUCAACACGGUCAACGAUCAACUUUGACCGGACUCGGCGAGUGCACUAGGGCGACUCGGCGAGUCUAUACGUGUCCACUGACUCCCUUGGAUCCUCUCUUGACACGUCGAGUGCUUCCCUAACUCGAUGAGUUCCACCUGGCAUGAAUCGCGGGGACACCACGACUCAACUCGCUGAGUCUCAAGAACAACUCGGCGAGUUCCGGCUUGACUCAGCCCCCCCUUGAUUCUCCCUGACUCACUGAGUCGACCCCUCAACUCGACAAGACCACUCGCUGAGUGGUUACGGGAAAACUUCAUGCUACUCGCUGAGUCUGUUCUUCAGACUCGGCGAGUCCAUGCCAUGCAUAAACUCAAACUCACUUCUGAGGUCAGAUCUGUUCCAUACAAUCAUAGAUCUGGCCUCCCCAGGCAUGAUAAUCAUGUAAAGUCCAAACCUUGGGGCUCAAACAACAACUAUUUGCUCAUAAAUGAUGUUUUAGCCCUAUAUCUCAGAACUCUAGGCCAAUACUCUCUUGAACCCUCAUAAAACUUAAGGAAUAAAGCUUCUCUGGACCUCUAUGGAUCUCAUCUCAAGCCUCAUCACAAAUAGGGACGAAAUGGACAUCAAAUCUAACCAACAAAGGGGUCAAGAAACCCUAAACCCCCAUGUUCAUCAUAACAACAGAAAAGGGAGCCAAAAUAUACCUCCAAGAUGAUGCUUUGAGCUCCAAAAUCGAAGGAUGUCCACCUCCCUUGCCUUCUCUUAGCUAGAAUCUCCUUUGGCUUGCCAAACAAAGCUUCAAAGGUCAACAAUGGCCUCUGCUCUCUCCCAAAACGCUCAAAUCUCUUUAGGGUUUCUCUCUAGGGGUUGGUGGCCGCAAAUGACGGCCAUAAGCCCCUUUAAAUAGGUCUCAAACCCUGGAAAUUAGGGUUUCAUUAAACAGUGUGGAUUCGCCGAGUCCAGACGCGAACCCGCACCCAAAACCGCGAUCCUACUCGGCGAGUUUGGACGCCAACUCGCCGAGUCUCCUCACAAAUCACCUAAAAAUACAAGAAUAAAUAAUACCUGGGAAUCCGGGGUGUUAUAGUGAAUUUGCCAAACGCUAACACGGGCUGAUCACCCACGUCGUUUGAGCAUAACAAACCGCCAACAUGCAUUAAGAAAUCUCAGUAGGAGAUGAUCCCUCUAUGAAAAUGUCGGUUCAAAUAAGUAAUAAAGCUUCUAGGCUCUCGAGCCAGACAUACUCCAAGGGUUCAGAGGAUCGUAACCUUCCCCUGACAACUUAACACACUCUAGUUCAGGGAGUCUCGAUGUGAUGAUCUCGACUCACCUUAAGAGACCACAAAAGAGAGGCAAUUUGUCAUGCAGCUAAGGACCAAAAGCAAGGCCUACAAAAUACUAUUUAAGGAGACACCUCCGCAAACAAAACGAGAAGCUCAUGAAAACAGGAAAAAGCUAACGAUGAAGACCCCACAAUGUCGAAUAUAAUAACAUUCUGCAAGUACAAAAAAAUGAAAAGCAAGCAACAAACAUACAAAAACACACAACAAAAAUCAACCCGGGCAUGGUUUAGUCGAGGUAGCGACCUUAACACCACCGUCUCAAACGAGUUCUUCCUCUUCAGAGCAUAGUUGGUGAAGAUCAGCAAGGUCGAGUUCCCCCAACAGAGAUAGGAUACGAAGUCCGUCUCGGAAAAAGCCCGAUAGCAGCAUCCAUUGCAUUGAUAGACCGUGCCGCAACGUCUGGAUCGGGCGAGCUAGGACAACUGCCAUCCGACCACACUCGUGCCAUCUACUUCCCCCUCUCUAUACCAGCAGCCACGCACGCGACCUUCACACGACAAAUCCCAAAUGUGAACUCGCUAAUCUCGACAACAAAAUCCACCACACAAACCACCCCCUUCUGAAGAACCCUAUCUAAAUCAGCCUCCAAGACUUUCCUCCUCGAGACCUCAACGGCGAACUAAUCAUCUCGUAGUCCCAAGUGCUCCGCCAAUGCUGCUUUCUUCGAGACCAAAUUCUGGACCUGUUGGGAUAAGAGACUAACCUCCCCAUCUAGAUUCACCACCUGAGCUUCCAUAGUAGUCUUUUCCUCGGACAGCACGAGGUAGCAUUCAUCAAACUUGCGCCGCUCCUCCUCGAGAAGCCAAACCUUCUCCGCAAGCUCAUCACACUUUUACUUAAUAGCAACCAACUCUGCUAAAUCAGCCGCUAUUUAAUAAAGAUGACCAACGGCUACCACCAAGUAAGGAGCAACCUUAGCAGCGACAUACUAAAGAUCAUUAUCCAUGUGAGAAUAAGAAAGAGUGUCGAUGGCCUCCAGGGUAGCCGAAGGAAACACAUGUCGGCACCAUUAACGGGCGGACCCAAUCCCGAUAAAAGGGAACCAGGCGUAAGGUUCCACCCCGAGAGAUACACACCAGGAGCAUUCUAAGACGAAGGACCCGCCGCUGACGGGGCAUCACCUGAAACUGAGGGUGGGACGGAGCGAGUGCCCACAACGCCUGGUUCUCCCAACCGACACAAACCCAUAGUCUCCCUUUCACGAGGGUCGUCACCAUCAGCAAUCUCAAUAACAAUGUGUGACUUAGAGAGCGGAGGAUCGAUGAUGUGUUUCCGACGCAAAUGUCGGCCAUUAGUAUUGCCACUAAUAUCCUCCUCAAGAGCGGAAUCCACAACAUCGGUCCAACAUUGGGAGACGACUUGACCGCUAGCCACACCUGAUCCCCUGACUGAAGAAGCAUCCUUCACCCCCGCCUCGACAGGAGGGACAUCGCCCUUAAAUAACAAGGCCUACUUUGGCUGGAGCCGGUAGCGAAUCCACUUGAGGGACUUUGUGAUAGUGAAGAUCCCCUUCAAAAUCCCCUCGUAGCACCUGUUCAAGAGACAAAAGCCUCUUGCUACCUGCAAUGGCAACAACACAAGACCCCCUUCUUUCAGUAAAAGACACUCGAUAUCAAAUAAAAAAAGGCAAAAAAUGGGGGAAGGAAGGUUGCACUUACCAUCAUUGUCCACAAAAAAUUAGGCAUCGUUCCUUGCGACCGCCAAGCAACGCUCAUUCUGGCUGCUGCCAAUACACAGUCCGACCAAUCUUUGCCAUUAUGAAAAAUCCCUCUUAACGCAUGAGACACCGAAAAACUGAUCCCCGACAGUUGGGGCUCCCGACCCGAAGCCAUGGGCACAUGAGGAUAUCCAGCCCCGACCAAAUCACUAUUAACCCACAACCACCGAUCCUAGCAGUUCUUCUGAGGCACUUUAUGGUUAACUAUAAAGGAAUGCGUGUUCCAACGCAGAGAAAAAGUAUGAACACCCAAAUGGGUAAAAAAAUUGAAGAAAGACUGGAAUGCUUGAAGAUGGGGAAGCACACCCAACUCUCGACACUUUAACUAAAACCUAACUAUCUUGUUCACAAGGUUUGGGGUUAAGUCGUGAACAUAGAAACCAUAUUCUUGCAUAACCUUGUCUAAGAAAUCAGAAACAGGAAGACAAAAUAGGGCCUACCCACCUUCCCCGUUGGCGGUUGAUAAAUUGUAGACCUUUCCGACGGAAUUGAACUACAUGCCCAGGCAUGAACCCAAACUAGAAUUGAAGAGACUCGAACUCCUCGGGUGUUGGAGCGAUUCUAGAUCUAACAAAGACCAUCAAGAAUCGGAGUGGAAAAUGUGGGAGAAAGGAGAAGCGAUAAAAGAGGAUGAGAUGGUGGUUUAUGGAGAGAGGAAGCGUAUAACCAUUCCUAAUGAUAGAGGGACCUUAAAUAAUAAGAAAAAAGAAAAGAAGAAAUGAAACGAAAUGACACUAUCUCUCCAUAAGGGUUCUAUUUCAUUAGAAACACAUCAUAAACUGUUCCCACCAAACGUGUGCCCAGAUCUAAGCUAGAACUACUCAGCUACCCUAAGAAAACACUAACGUCUACUAGCCUAAGGGACUUGUUAAUGUAUCAAACCGGGUAUACGUCAAAAAUAGCGGAAACGUCUGUCUGAGAGACGGUUUGGGCAAAGUGCGAUGCAUGCCUAACGUUAGGGACUCGCUCUCUCCCUCGCUCUCGCGAUCCCAUACUCAUUCCUUGUAGCCCAAGUACCAAACCCAGUGUCAAGACAAAAUUGUACCAAUCGCCUCACAUAGCGAAAGGUGUCGCGCUCAAAACGUUGCUCCUGGUAACCCUGAACCAAUGGUAAACGACUACUCGCAGAGCACGAUCUACCAAUGAGAGGUUGUCUAUCCCUGCAAAACCUGAAAAGGUAAAAGAUAUUGUCGGGGAUUUGUCCCCCCGACCACAGGUAUAAAAGGAUCCAUUCUCCCCCAAGAGAAGAGAUCAAAAAAUAACCCUUAAACACUUUUCUAACACUUUUUCACCUUCUCUCUAAGAGCUGAACUGACUUGAUCAUCAGAGCUUCAUUCCGGGACUGCCUCCCGGACAUAGACUGACGAUCUUGUUUCCUUUGCUGUGAUUCUUAGACCCUUCAUUCCAUCUUUCAAAGAUACAGAGUUAAGCUGGAGACAUGCCACAACAGUUACACACUUAAUUCUAGGUUGUUACCCUUUGCCCCACUGGUGUAUUCCCCUUUUAAUUAAUUAAUUCUUAAUUCAUCUUUUAAGGGAUUACACAAAUGACAUCCAUAAGUCAUCAUGCAUAUUUAUUAUCAUCUUUUUGUAUUAUAUUACUGCCUAAGUUACUUCUUAUGUAAACAUGUAAACAAGUAAAUACUAGUUAAAACAUUUUACAUAGCAUAAGUCCAUACGAUUUUCCUAUAAUUUUCUAUGAAUUUUACAAGACAGUAUGUCCAUGCAACUAAUUUCUAACCAGUCGGUGAAAGCGACCAUUUUCUCCUUGGUGAAGUACAAUAUUAGGUCUUAGGAAAAAUUCUGGACAAACUAGACUCAAAAUUCAAACUUUGAUAGUUUACAAAUCCCCAAUAUAACUCUUGAUGAUUUUUCUAUAAUUUCUUCAAAAUAGGGACACAUUGCUAACUCUUUAUAAUUUCCCAACAUUGCAUUUGAAGGGUUAAUUGGCAACUUAACCCAUUAGACCAUAGCCAAACUCAACUAUAAUGAUGAAAAUUGAGUUCUUAACAGUAGCAAUAUAUCAACAAGUUAGAAUGGCAAAUACAACCUCAAACGAAGACUCAAAAUGCAUUACAUUUAUAGGAAAAACAAAGUGCAUUGGAAAAAAGGGUACUCGACCAAAGCUUAAGUUUGAUCCACCAUAAAGCUUCAUAUAAAGACUUUCUAACGUUGUUUUGAAAACCUUCUGGAUGGCUGAAAACAUAGUCUUUUACAGAAAACUUACCUUCUUGAAUCAAGCUAUCAAUAACAUAAGUUUUAUCAAUCACCAUAGAAUACAAUGUUCUAAAAACCAUGGAGUAUUUCUAGAACAUGAAGCAUAACAUUCUUGGGAGAGUUAAUACUUGAAAUUAAUAGCAACAAAACAACAAAUUUCUCCCAACAAACUAGAAUUCAAUCAUAUGAACUCUCAAAUAUUGUAUGGAGAAAAAUAUAUGAUCUUUAACACCAAAAUUGAUUCACAAUUGCUCAAGAAAUUGAGAUGAAACUGGAGAAGAAUAUGAAGUACAGGAUUUUACCUCUUAUUAGGAUGAUUUUCACAACCUCUAAUCCCUCCAGGAUCGAAAAGAAUAAACCCUUCGCCCCCCCCCCCCUAGCUGCCUGUUGUUUUUUUUGCUAUAGUUUAUGAUUGAGCGAUGCAUACGAGAGACAAGUAGGAAUCGAUCGUUCUCUUUUUUCUGUCGACAAAAAAUGGUAGGAAACAAGCAUCAAUCAUUUUUUUUGUUCUAGGGAACACACUUUAAGAAUAGACAUAUGGAGGAGGAUCAAUUCUCCUCCUUGGGAAUUAUACCACAAUUUUACCAAAUGGUCCCUAUAAUAUCAUAAUUUAUUUCAAAGCCUCCAUAACCCUAAUAAUCUAAUAUUUACAGUUUCCUUUGAUGACAUCUUGUCCCUUCACUUCAUAAUAAACCUUUUAGUAACUAGAAAUUAACUUAGCUUUCCCAUAUAAUCACUAGAUUAAACUAUUUUCUCUUAAUUACUGUAUAAUUCUUUUAGAUAUUAAAUAACUCUAUUUUUAUUUAAUUUAUUUUCAUUAGAUAACAAUCAAUUAAAUAAAUCAAACUAACAUCACUAACGAAAGGAAAUUUGGGUCGUCACAAAGAUGAUCAUUAGGAUAGAUCAUUAGAAAUAAAAAUUGAAAUAAAACCAACGAUAUAUAUUCCAGAGAAAUCCAUGUAACGAUACUGUCAGCAACGAAUGCUAUGUUGACCCUUCUGAUAAAACCUUAGAAAAUAAUAAUGUAGAAAAAGUAUAUGGGUAAUCGGGUUAAUAUUGUGAUAAUUAAACACAUUAACUAUAUUAUUAUAGGUUGAAAACUCUAUGUACUCACCCGGUUUUUCAACCUAAAUCACUCAACUUCUUUGUAUCACAGCAACCAAUAAAAAGUUACAUGCAUGAUGAGAGAUUCAUAGAGGUGUAGAAUGUUAGUCUAAGAUGCUGCAAGACCUGUUUACGCUUAUGUUUUGUAUCAGUUAUAACAUCUCAAACUUUAUAUAGAUCAUUGAAAAACCAUUUCUUUGGAAAUACUUUUAUGGGACCAAAUUCUGCAUUAAUAAAUAAACUUUGGUUUUUAAUAAACAUAAAUUUAUAUAUUUUUUAAAUGUCAAUAAAAAUGGGGUUGUCACAUUAAGCCUUCAGGUGGAUGCCACAUCGUGACCAUAAGUAUGUCACGUCAUGCCACACAAGACGAAUGUGUGCUUAUACAACUAUUACCUCAUUGUGGCACAAUGUUUUUCCCAAAAACCUCAUAUUUGAUCCCCAAAAUCUUUAGCUGGUCCACACUGAAAAACAGGUGUUACAUCGAAUCUAUAUAUCUAUUAUAGUAGAGACCAUUUUGUUUUCACCGUAUUCAUUUAAAACUCCUACAAAAAUUCAAAAGUCUUUUUAAUUACGAACUAAUUAGUAACUACAACUUAAGAGUAUUGUAACUUAAGAGUAUAUAUAAUUAGUUAUGUGUACAUACGAUUUCAACUUCAAAAUAAUUAGUAACUACAAGUAAGGAGUUUUCAUAACUUUUAGUUAGUAAGUGAUAAUUAUUAUAUUUAUUUAAUUAAUAUAAAAAUAUAAAUAGUUCAUAUAUAUAUAUAUAUAUAUAUAUGUGUGUGUGUGUGUGUGUGUUAUAACAUCGUGGGANNNNNNAUGAUUUUGCUUGAGUUCGAUGCAUAAAAUGGCAAAAAGAUAAUUUGAGAAAACUCAAAUCUCUAAAUUGAGGUGAAUGUGAUCGUACUGAACGAGGAAGAAGAAUAUACAAAUUAAAUUUAUAUAAGUGGAAUAUAGAAAUUUUGUUUAUAUUGUUUCAAAAUAAUAUGACACAAAAUUUAUGGUUAUUUUUUCUAUUCUAACCAAUGCAAUCAACCAUAUUGUUAUCUUUCUAUACCAAAAUCACUAAAAAAUUAUAUGAUUAUAAUAACUCAUAUUUACAACGUUUUUUUUUUUUUCAAAAUAAAUAGUGUGAUGUAAAUGUGAAUACAUGGCUGUAAACAAUUUUAACAUAGUGCUUGUAAUAUCCUUUGAAAUAAUUUCAUAUUAAAUAACAUUCACAGGUUGAUGGUAAGAACAUAAACUUGGAUUUAUCAUAUAUUUAGCAACUUAAAUAAUCGUUUAAAAUGAUUAUUUUUUUCGUUUGUAAUUUGUAUAGUAACGAAUUAGUUAUAAUAUUUAAUUUUUGUUUUAACAGCUUAAAUUAUUUUGUAUUAACGAAACUAAAAUAAUAGCGUAAUCGGGUUAUUCACUCUAGGAACCGUCUAGAUUGGUUCGGUUCCAGUUCUAACUUCAUAAGAAACAUCGGCUCUGGUUCUGGUUCGAACGAAAUAAGAUAGGUACAGACGUAUGCUCAUCCGGAUAUGAAUGUAUGGUAAAUCUAUGUGUGAGUACUCAUCACUAACUGCAUAAUUACUAAUAUUAAUUGCUCAAACCUACUUGCACACUCUCACCCAACAGCUAAGUCGAGAUGGACACUUGUCUAACAUUAUUUCCUCUUUAUUUGACUUUAAUAUUUUCCAUCCGCCAUCGUAAUCUGAAAGCAAUGCGUCAUAGCUAGAUAAGAAUGGCAACGGGACGGAUCUAUAUAAAACACUAUUCUACCCGACUUUAAUUCCAAACAGACAUUGUUGAUUAAUAAAACGUCACUUACCUAUGGUCGGCAAAUGAAUAGAUGAUCAUAUCAUUCUUUUAUUACUUUUCACUUUUUUUCUUCUCAUGUCUAGAUGUGAACAAUAUUAGGGUAAUUAAUCACAUUUAUUUUGGUGUUUAAUGCCAAAACGUAUGUUAAGAACAGUAAUAUUGUCGUUGCAGUAAUUGGAAAUAAAAGAAGUUGCCACAUGGUAUGCUCUCUCUCUCUCCUUGUUUCGUCUGUAUUAUUACAAGUUAAUGUAACGAAUAAAUACGAAAAAUAUAAAGGAUGCUCCCCGAAAGCAGGAAUCAAAAAUAUAUAGAUCCUGCGUCUCUAUUAAUAAUACAUCGAACCCUAGCUAGGUUUCUUGCUGUCAACUUUGUAUUAUGUUUUCUUGAUAUAUAAACACACAUACAUACAUAAAUACAUGAUACAUCCGUUUUAUAUAUAUANNNNNNNNNNNNNNNNNNNNNNNNNNNNNNNNNNNNNNAUAUGGAAUAUGAAAAUUUAAUUAAUAAGGUAUAUAACCUUUUUAUUCAGUAUUAAUAGGAAAAGUACAACUAAAGCUACCUAUUCCGAAGUCCAGUUAUUAUUGAAUACAAACUUUACGAAAUAGUUUGGUUUGAACUAUUUAUUCAAUAAGUUUUAGGAAUGUUACUAUUAAGUUGAAGGUGUAAUUUAAACUGAUGUAUUGGGUUUUAUCAAUGCUGUUCUUUUAAGUUUUUAUUUAUAACUUAUGUAAACGUACGUAUCACAUUUCAAUACAGACACUUUUAAUGAGUUCUAUAUAAAUUAUUUUUAUCAAAAGUUAAACAUGUAGAUGACCACAAUUAAAUCAUCAUUUUUAAUGCAAAAUAUGUGCAUAUAUAUUUUAAUACACAUCAGAUAUGUGCAAAAUAUAUGCACAUAUAUUUUAAUUCACAUAACGAUAUUUGUAAUACCAAAAGAAGAAUAUCAUGACACACAAUAUAUUUUUGCGUUUAUAUUAUAAAAUCAUAUAGUACAUCGAUCAAAUCAUGUUUUACAAUUACAGAAUUUUUAAUUCUGAGUAAACAUUUAAAAAUAAUAUAGAAGAUAGAAUAUUAGCCGAAAAAAAAAAAAGAUGAAAGAAAGAAAAAACAACAAUUGUGUUUUAUUAAUGUUUUUCUAAUACCGUAAAUGCACAAAUCACAGCUUCACGAUCUCCGGGAUGUCCACAGGGUACCGAUCAAUGCAAUCUUCCCAUGGUCCGCCGGUCGGUGUUUUUAUGUUCCGGUUACACUUCCACACGGCGCUGUUACACUUAAAACCACUUCCAAACGCUAUCUGCCAAACCCUAUCACCUUUCUUCAUCCUCCCUUUUGAUUCGAUGUAGCUCAACUCAUACCACAGCGACGACGACGACGUGUUUCCAAACCGAUGCAAAGUCAUUCUUGAAGCCUCCACAUGCUCCGCCGACAACUGGAGGUUCUUCUGCAACUCAUCUAUCACUGCCCUCCCACCGGCGUGUAUGCAGAAGUGCUCGAAUGCUAGUUUGAAAUCUGGAAUGUAGGGUUUCCAUUUCGGGUUGAAGAUUUUCCGGCCGAUGAGAGUGAAAAGAAAGAGAAGCUGUUCAGAUGCCGGUAGGACUAAAGGACCGAUGGUUGUGAUGUUGGAUUUCAAAGCUUCGGCGGCGAUCACCAUGAGAUCUUUUGACAAGUUGAUUCCGACGAGUCCUUGAGGAUCUUCUUGUUCGUAUACGCAUUUGUAAGCUCUGUCGUCGGAGCCUUUGUGGGUUCUGACGACAUGAACGAGCUUGUACUUCGAACGACUUCGGUCACGGCGUUUAUUGGAUAACAAAAGCGCGGCGGCGCCCAUCCGGAAAAGGCAGUUCGGAAGAAGCAUCGCUCGUUCGUUUCCUUGAUAGUAAUUUGGAGUAAUAAUCUCAGUGCUAAUUACCAUAGCGUUACAAUUCGGAAGAACCUGAAGCAAAUCUCUAGCUAAAUCUAUGGAGAUUAAUCCUGCACUACAUCCCAUACCCGACAAGUUAUAGCUUUUGAUGUUACUCCUCAACUUAUACUUAUUCACCACCAUGGCCGACAACGACGGCGUCGGAGAAAACAAGCUGCAGUUCACUAUAAGAAUAUCUAUGUCUUUCGGCUUCAAUCCUGUCUUCGCAAACAAAGAAUCAAUGGCGGAGAAAAUCACGAGCUCAGCCUCACCCCUAGCGGCCUCCAUGUUUGGAGUCGGCGGGAUGUAAUGAAUCGCCGGCGGCAAACUCGUCUCUUCACCUAAUCCAGAUCGUUCAAGAAUCCUCAUCUGGAACUCAACACUCUUCGGGUUAUCCUUGAGGAUCAACCUUGAAUGUUCCAUGAAAGUGGAGAAGGGGACACGGCACGUGAUCGGAGCUUUAUAACAGGUAUAAUCGACGAGGUAAAUGGAUCGAGGUUUUGACAUAAAGUAUACUGUGGAGAUGAAGAGUAAGAGAAACACAGAGCAUAGUGUUUGAACAAGAUCAAGACGGAGGGAUUUUACGGUGGUUAUGAUCUCAUCUGGUCCGAGGCGGAGGAUUUCAAGGGCGAUGGCUGCGAUGAUGGGGAUUAGUAUGAAUGUAAGGAUGUGGUUAACAAGAUACUGAUACCCGAGCUUUACGUAUUUCAGCUUGACGGAGGAGGAGAAGUCCGGUAAGACUGGUGGCAUCUUUGAAGGUUUAGAGGGAGAGAGAAAGAGAGAAACGAUGUAGCUACAAUGGCGGAUUGAGGUAAUGAAGAAGGAGGGGAGGUGGUGGGAGAUUUAAAGGGAAGGGGGGAAGGAAUGGCAAUGAAUGAAGACAGAUGAGAAGAUAUAAAUGAGGGGUCACCUUCAACAUCAUGCAACGGUCCCUGAUUACUGUUGUGACUUUCUUUAAUAAAAGGUUUACUUACGUUUAUGGUCCCUAUUCUCACUAGAAUUCACACUUCAUACCCUAAAAAGAAAGUAUUAACAGCAAGAUUUUGUUUUGUUAAUUAAUAAGAAUCUUGAAAGAAAAAAAAAACGAUCAUACAAUCAAAGUUGGGUCUUUAAUUAUACCACUGCAAUAGAUUUUGUUGGACGAAAUCUACUGGUGAACUAAAAAUAAAAGGGACAGAGUAUAUUAUGAAAUAAUGUUUCUUUUUAGACUUGGUUGUAGGAAAUAGCAAAGUGUUUUGGAAGUGACUAAAUCAUCCACAUAGCUUUAAAAAUCACCACGUUAAAACCGUUUUUUGCUCCGAAGUUAGACAGGUAUUAUCCAACGAAUUCAGUCAAUACUUUGCUAAAAAAUUAGUUGUGAUAGAAAUGUAUUCCACCGAUGGUUAAUUUGGUCCAAAUAGAAACCGUUAUGAGGCAGGUUAAGAACAAGUGAUCCGGAAACUCCACGGUGGCAAUGGUGGCACAAAAUUAAAUCAACGUCCACACAUCUUGCAUCCUCUUUUCUUGGUAGGUAAUGUGUAAUGGCUGAUGGGUAUCCAUAAUAUAGAGUUCAAAAAAAUAUCAAAUAUUUGGUUAAAGAUAUAAGUAUUUUUACUUUUAACACUAACAACCCAUUCAACAUUUACUUAAUCGUAAUCACCAUUAUUCUCGGUAUUGAAGAGUUAAAUACUUAAAUGAUCGUUAAACUCCAUUUCAUAUCAUCACCAACAAUCCAUUAAACACAUUUAUUCAAUCAUAUUCAUCACCAUAUUCAACUCAUUUACAACUUGUAUAGUGGAUGACCUUAGCUAUAUUACCAUCCAAACAAAUUAACUUUUAUAUAUAGUUGUUUUUUCUGACAAAUCGUUGACCUCCCAUAACCAUUGUUGUAACUCAAAUCAAAUACCUAGCGGAAGCAGCAAUAAAGACCCAUACGUUACAAACAUCACACCUAAUCAUCCUCUAUUUGAGAACAAGCGAAAUCGGUUAGACAAGACUAAUCAACCAAUUUCUCUUCUUUUACACCCAACUCAUGACACCAUACCUUUAUCGAAACAAUAUUAUAGAACCAAGAACUCACCUUGAAAUCUUUAUCGACUUCAAAAGCAUAAAUCAUAAGUAAUUUUUUUUGAAAUAAAGAAGCUCCAACCCAAGUGUCCUCACAAAAAGGUAGAAUUACUAUUUCUCAUUUUGUUUAUGAAUGUAACAUUCAGUGUCAUUUGCUUGAAGUUUUUUUUCUAAUAAAAAAACCACCAAUGCGACUCCAACCUCAUGAAAUUUCAUUCGACACAAUCAGUUAUAGAAAUCUCCAUGAGCUCCAUGAAUUGUCAAAAUGAUUAAGAUUUAUAACUCAUUCAUUUGGUUAAAAAUCUCCAUCUUCACAUCACAAACAUAACAUAAUUAGUCUUAUAUAAGGUUCUAUACAGAUCCCCCCUAAAAGGACUUUGCCAUUAUUACUAAAGUUAUACCAAUUACUUACGAGAUUGGGCAUUAAUUUUCAAUAGUCUUCCACAUUAACAAUUCAUCAACUAUUAUUGGUCAAAUAAUCUUCAAAUAAUCAACAAAGUGUUCCUUCCACAUCAACUGUCGAAUUCCAAUCUUAUCAAGUAUCAGCCCAUAGAUAAGUGAUCAAUUAUUUCUUUGUUUCUACAAGAUAUCAUUGAGAACUAUGUCACGGAUAAUGUGUAACAUCUAAUUUCUAGGUACUGAUUUUCCCAAGUUAAUUACUCUAAUUAUUAUUUGUGAAUGUUGUGGGUGAGCCACGACGUGGUGGCAAAGGCUCCACAACGUGGCAAUUUCCAGGUGUAACAUCCUUUGUUUCCACCUUUUUAGUCCCUCCAAAUUUAUCUUGCAUAUAAUAUGGAGUAAACCAUAUAAUAAAAUUAAGGUUACAAAUGAUAGCACCUUUUUAACGUAGCAUCCGAUUCCAAGUUCUAUUUCUUUCGUCCCUUAAGUUUGAGAUUUUUGGCAAAUUUGGUCCCUCGUACGCUGGGCGUAUGUUUGGUACGCUUAGCGUAUGAUAUUACUAUGGUCAAAAAGGGUUAACCAUGUAUGAUGGGUGUACGUGGUGUACGCAGGGUGUACGGCUGCCUAUUAAAACAUCAUUAUGGCUUUUGGACACGUACCCUCAUUAGCCUCCACAGUUCAUUUCGUCCCAUUGAAACCCAAGUUCAUCCUUUGAGAGUUCUUGAGCUUUGGAAGUGAUUUUCGGGCAUUUGUGUGAAUUCAAGAAGAAGGAACUUGGAGACCAAACAUUUGUUGAGGUUGAGCUUUUAGAUCCAAAGUCUUCAUUAACUUUGGGAGCUAGAUAAGGUAUAAAGUUCUUACCUUGAUGAUUCCUUAUGGUAGUUUGAAUUUAUGGAUGUUUGUAAACUUUAUUUGGUCCCAUGGGUUCUCCUUGUGAGUUUGAGAAACUCCAUGAGUUAGAUAUGUUAUAUCUCAGCCUCUUUAUUGUUCGUGAUGCAUAAAAAUGUCAUCUUGAUGGUCGUUAUUAGUCCAUGCAUGAGAUUGAGGCCUUAUUAUGAGCAUUGUUGGACAAAUGGAUUAGGGUGGCAAGCAAUCGAGUACGCUACACGUACCAAGUGGUACGGUGCGUGUACUGGCGAUCGGUUGUGUACCCCAAGUGUACAAUGUGUAUGCCUCUUAGUGGGCUUUUGACGUCGGUUGGGCUUUAGACCUUUGGGCCUUAGUUAAGUGUUGAACCUUUACUUGUUUAAAGUAGGUGGGCCUCAGGAUUCUGUUAGUGGGCCUUAAGUUGUAUGAGUUGGGCCUUAGGGGGCAUUAUGGUAUUAUUGGGCCAAGUUUGGUUAGGCCCAUUAUGGGAAUGGUGAAAUAGCCUUUUAUCCUAGGAGUGUGGGUUGGUAUUUUAAACCCACGGUUAUGGUUUAUGGCCUAAGUUUUAUUAGGAUUAUUUGUUUGUGUUUAGUUGGGGAUCUUUCGGUUCUGUAGCCGUGUAUCUAGUCAUUUGGACUGAGGUGAGUUUUCUCACUAUAUCAAUGGGUCGCAGACACCAAGGCCUACCCAUUACUUGUGAUACAGGAUGCUAGCUACAUUUGUGAUAUGUAUAUGAAAGAGCAGGAUUUGGCCCCUAGCAAUUGUAUGAAAUAUCAGGAUGUGGCUCAUGGCAUCUGUAUGAAAGACCAGGAUCUGGCCCUUGGCACCUGUAUGGAAGACCGAGAUUUAGCCCUCAACAACAAAUUAUUUGUUAGCCUAUGGUUUGGCCCAUAACACUAACUUAUUUAUGUUUGGUAUGUGGUACUGGGGAAACUCGCUAAACUUUUUCUUACAAAUUAUAUUUAUGGUUUCAGGUACUUUCGGUACUAAGGGAAAGGGCUCGGCGUGAUGACAUAACAUUCUCCCCUCACCAUUUUCCGCACUUUUAGAUAUUGUUACUCUGAUGAUUUGACAUUGUUACAAUGUAAUGGUUUUUGGACUAAUUUGAUGAUUGUAAGUCUUGUUUAAAAAUGAAAAAUUUUAUCUUGGUUUUUGGGUUGUUACAAGUUGGUAUCAGAGCCUUGGUUUGAAGGAUCCGGGCACACUCUCGAGUGUGUCAGAACUCAAACUGAGGAAGGUACGGGUAGAUGUGAAAGGUAGUAUUGGGCCCAUACUACUGAAAGCACACGACCUGUACUUGAGAAAAGAACAUCCAUGGGGGCUCUAAGGGUACCUGUGUGUUGCGAGUUUCCCUCAAGUGUUAGUUGAUUGUUUAUAUCUUUGUGUUUCAAUUUGAGGAUGGUGGUCACUCAUUUAAGAUUGGGAGGUACUGGUUUUGGCUCUGGUUCGGGUUCAGGUUCUAGCUCUGGCUUAGAACCGAUUGAUGAGAGGUUGUGUGAGCUUAUUCCACCGGAGGUUCCUCGAGGCAUUCUUGAUGCUACCGCCGUGAUUUUCGGUACCCCCACGGAGGGGAUUUUGGACCACAUGGAUGAGCGGCUUAAGACCUUUCGAGCCAAGAUUGUUACAAGGUAGAUUGGGGCGUGAACUCCCUUAUUUCAGGAGUUCCAGGCAUUCGGAUCACCUAAGUUCUUUGGGGUUAAGGAUCCUAUUGUUAUCCGCCGUUGGAUCACUAACAUCGAGAAGGCUCACGGACGAGUUUUUGCAAUAAGGGGCAAAGGUGGGAUUCACAUCCUGCCUACUGAGGGACAGAGCUCAUGACUGGUGGGAGGAGGUUACUAGAGCUGUAGGAUCGGCAGCAGUGGCUAUGAUGAAAAGGGAGGACUUUGUUCAGAGGUUUCAGAGGGAGUUUGCACCAGCUAUCGAGGUGCAUCAGUUGGCGAGGGAGUUCUAGGACCUUCGCCAGACUACAAAGACUGUGGCAGAGAUUACCGCCAAAUUCAGGGAGAGAGCAUUGUUUGUUUCUCAGUAUGCUGCAGAUGAGGAGAUGAAGAAGACAAGAUAUCAUGAUAUCUUGAGGGAUUAUAUUGGGGAGUUCGUGAGCUUCUCGGCAUGCAAGACCCUGAAUGAUAUGGUCGAGAAGUCCCGCAUGCGGGAGAUUGACUUGGAGCUCCGAACGAAGCGGAAGUUGGAGCAGGUUCAGACAGGUUUGGGUCAGACUAAGAGACCCAAUACCUCUGAUACCUACUCCAUAGGCCAGCAGGGACAGGGUCGUUGUGCCAAGUGCGGCAUGUCGCACAGUGGUGCUUGCCGAUCAGUAGCUUCAUGAUGUUUUAGAUGUGGCCAAAUAGGUCACGUGAGCAGGGAUUGGCCAAGGAGGGAUCUGAUUUACUUUCAUUGCAAUCAGACUAGCCAUAAAAGGCCGAUUGUCCGAGAUUCUCUGGGGGGGGGGAGUGGUGCCCCCUAUGCCAGCCACCUUGAGGAUUACUGAUGGCCUCUAAAGCAAGGCGGAGGCUCCUAUAUUGAAGAACAAUGCUUUUCAGCUGACCACCUAUGACGCUCGUACUGUGCCCGAUGUAGUUACUAGUAUGUGUUUUAACCCUAUCUUUUAUUGCUUUCUUUGUUUAUGCUUAUGAUUAUUAUAAUCUUGAGUGGGGAUCUUUUUGGUCAAUGGUAUGUCUACUCAUGUUAUGUUUGAUUUGGGGGUACCUAAUCCUUCGUAUCUCUUGCGCUCAGCAAGAAGUUUCGAGACACUCAGGGGACAUUGGAUUCCCCUGUAGAGGUGGAGAUUGCGGAUGACCGUAACACGAGUGAUUCGAGGGUUUUCCGUGGGUAUGUCCUGAACAGGUUUAGCGAGAGGUUCUCUAUUGAUUUGGUGUCGAUUCCCUUGAGAGCCAAUGGACCCGUGAUUGAUUGUGAUGGGUAGCUGGUGAGAGUUCUUACCACAUGUGGGGGAGACUUUGUUAUUACCAGUGAGAGAGCUUUGCAUGGGCCAGUUCUUUUUUCAGUUGUGAGGGCUAAGAGAUAUCUGCAUCAAGGUUGUUUUGGGUUUCUAGCUUAUGUUUUUGACACGCAGGCUGAGGGCAUGAGGGAAUUGAGCGGGGUACCCAUUGUGCUGGAUUUUUCAGAUGUUUUCCCCAAGGAUUUUCCUGGAGUGCCUCCCGAGAGUCAAGUUGAGUUUCGGAUUGAUUUGGUACCUGGUGUGGCACUGAUAGCCGAGGUGUUGUAUCGCAUAGCACCACAUAUGAUGCAGAAGUUAUCUACGCAGCUGCAGGAGCUGCUAUACAAAGGUUUUAUUCAUCUGAGCAGUGCUCCGUCGGGAGCAACAAUUCUAUUUAUGAAGAAGAAAUACGGUUCGCACAGAAUGUGCACUGAUUAUCUAGAGUUGAAUAAGCUAAUGGUGAAGAACCGUUACCCACUUCCUUAUAUUGACAAUUUGUUUGAUCAACUUCAAGGUGCAUCUUGGUUUUCCAAGACCGAUUUAUUGUCAGGAUACCACUAAAUAAGAGUUAGGAAUGAGAAUGUGUAGAAGACACACUUCAGGACUCGUUAUGGUCAUUACGAGUUCGUGGUGAUGCCUUUCGCGCUCACCAAUGGACCAGCAAUGUUCAUGGAUCUCAUGAACCAAGUCUACAGGCUGAUGUUGGAUCGGUCUGUGAUUAUUUUCAUUGAUGAUAUUGUUUGAUUAGUGUCUAAGUCCAUAACUAUUUUGGUAUGUACUUGACCCGAUGGUGCAUGGUCCUUUUGGGUUGCCUUCACCAAAGCAACUUGAUAGGAUGAAUUAUGGAGAGAAAGGAUUAAAUAUGAUUUAUUAAUAUUUAUGAGAAUAAUAUAUUAAAGGAGAAAUCAUAUUGUUUAAUUAAUAUUAGUCAAGAAUUAAUAAGAAUUAAGUUUGUGGCUAAAAGAGAUUAAUUAAACUUAAGGGACUAGAACUGUCAAUUGUAUGAUAGUUGAAUAUUGAGCUAAUGGACUCCAUAUUAAAGGGGUGGACGAAUUCUAUGGGGAAAACCAUUAGAAAUCAUCCAAGGCCUUUAAGGAAAGGAGUUCAUGGGUUGCUUAGGGCCUAUGCAUCCAAAUUAGGGUUUCCUUGUUAGAUAACCCUAAUAGCCUCACUAUUUAAAGGACCCUUAAGCCCCAAAAACGUGGUGAACAAGAUCCUUAGGCUUUCCACACGUUUUGGGUAGCCUCCUUCUCUUCUCUUCUUCAUCCUCUUGCUCUUGGUGUUUGUGAACCAUUAGAGGAGUGAUAUUUGUGACUCUAAGCUUUCUAAAGUCAUUACAAGGAGGAUUUGAGAUUGUUAUUGCUACAUAACAAUCAAGGUAUGAUCUAAACCCUAAUUUAUAUGUUAUAUUAAUUAUCAUAUGCUAGAUCUAGGGUUUAUAGUCUUGGAUGAAUUGCAUGUACAAUAGCGAAACCUAGAUCCAAGCAUUAGGGUUUGUAUGAGCACAUAGGAUGUUCUUAUGACUAAAACCCAUCAGUGGUAUCAGAGCCUUGAUUGGUUUCUAAUGUAUUGAUGCCUUGUAUGUUUGUUUAAGUUGCAAAAUUGAGUUUUAAGCUCCCUGCCUGAUGAACUCGGCGAGUACCAUAGUGUACUCGGCGAGUAGGCCUUAACUCGACGAGUCCAGUGUGGUACUCGGCGAGUUCGAGCGUCAGAUGGAGCUAUUUUUGGGAUUUCUUGCUGUUUUACUCAUGGAUACUUGCCUUAUCUGUUUUAGGUCAUUAAAAUCCGAUUUUAAACAUAUUUAUGAGUAUAUCCUUGAUUAAACAAAAGAUAAUUACCAAUUGAUUAGAUAAUAACUUCCUUAUAUGAUUAAAGUUUGAUUAUUUGUAUUAAUUGGGUAACUUAUCUUGCAAGAAAUUGAAAUUAGGUCAAAUAUAGAUAAUGAUGAAAUUAAUUGUUUAAUUUAUAUUAUUUGUUAUUUGAUCCUUGUGUUAUGAAAAGUUUCAAUUUUCCCCCUUUAGGUUUUAUAGUUUAAAAUUUGAACUCAAAGUUUUGUUUUGAAAUUUAAAUAGUUGAAACCCUAAUGUUUUGAAAAGAAUUCAAAACUUGCCCUCCAGUUUUGGAAUUUAAAUUUUGAUUAAAAGAUUAAUUUUGAUGUAUAUUUAAAUUCUAAACCCUAAUGUUUUGAAAUGUUUCAAAACAUGCCCUCAAGUUUUGGAAUUUAAGUGUUGAUUAAAGGUGUAAUUUAGGAAUGUUAAAUUCUAAAACCCUAGUAUUGUUUGAAAAGUUCAUAUCACACCCUUAUGGUUUUAUUAAUUAAUUAAGGUGUAUAAUUAAAAGAGGUUUAAUAAAUCCAUAAGAGUUUUGGUUUACAAUUUAACUGAAUUAAAAUUAUAAUUGUUAAAAAUUGACCACCUAGUAUUUUAAAAGUGUAAAAUACACCCUAUACUAUAUAUAACAUUAGAAGUCUAACAUUAUAUAUAUGUAUGAGUAAAAGUCAGUCUUACCCUUAGUAGGCCUCAUUCACGAAGCUGGUCUAUAAGGGGUGUUUAAGGAAAUUGCCUAUAAAAUGGCGAUUGAAUGGGUAUCCACUCUUACCCACCGCACUCUUGACUAGUGGAGGGUCGUUAGCCGAACGGGUAGGAUAGGACAGAAACCUUCCAUUAUAAGUAUAAUCAAGUACAAAAGUAACUAAAUGUUUUACAAAUUCCCAAUCUUUGUUACUUUAGGAAAAAGUGAACUGAUGCAAGUCCAUGAAAUUACACUUUGUACCCUUGCAAGGACUUUAGUGGAGCGUGUGUGGUUAACCGGCACACUAAAUGGUUCUAAGCAAAGGUAGAAAAGGGUGACUCAAUGUUUGUCAUAGUUCGGUGGAGCGUGUGUGGUUUACUGGCACAUCGAAUAGGUGACUGUAACAUGUGGGGGCACCAUGUAAGUUUGCAUGGUUAUUCACACCCGCUUUGUGAUCCUCGGCAUCCCAGUCACAAACUAGAGGGGCAUAUCGAGAUUUAAACAUGCCAUUGAAAUGUUCAAUGAAUCUCAAAGGAUCUAGGAGUUUUCAUAGAUUUAAAACUUAAAUUUCUUUUUCGUUUUUCAUGGUGGAAAUUAGUGAAUCGUCAUUCACUUACCUUCAAAUAUUCUGCAACUAGAUUACGACAUCCCUUUUCUAGGUUGUAGCAUAUUGUGUUGGGUCCUAGCCUUAAUAUCUCAUUUGGGUGAUUUAUUAAGGACUCAAUCAAUCAACUAACUUGAAUUUUUUUUCUCCCGUUUUGUAGAUGUCA